RNAcentral lists this long non-coding RNA (63938 nucleotides) under Triticum aestivum (bread wheat). RNAcentral describes it as "long non-coding RNA (TAES_LNC009317)". The record is from RNAcentral. Lineage: Eukaryota; Viridiplantae; Streptophyta; Magnoliopsida; Poales; Poaceae.
AAGAUCAUGUCAAAUGGGUGAGAUCGAAAGCGGGAAAACAUAAACUUUUGCACAGAAUUCUCGUAGUUUUCAUUACACAAUCAAAUCCUCGUAAUUUACACCAUGGUAGUACAACUUGAACCGCACAACGGCACACUUCACUACAAGCGCGUGUACGCGCAUAUACACACCUUACUUGCCAGGAACAAAGUUGGUGGCGAAUGCCCAUGCGUUGUUGUUGACGGGGUCGGCGAGGUGGUCAGCGAGGUUCUCAAGUGGACCCUUGCCGGUGACGAUGGCUUGCACAAAGAAGCCGAACAUUGAGAACAUGGCAAGGCGACCGUUCUUGAUCUCCUUAACCUUGAGCUCGGCGAAUGCCUCAGGGUCGUCGGCAAGGCCGAGCGGGUCAAAGCUGCCGCCCGGGUAGAGUGGGUCGACGAUUUCACCGAGCGGUCCACCGGCAAUGCGGUAGCCCUCGACGGCGCCCAUGAGCACAACCUGACAAGCCCAGAUGGCAAGGAUACUUUGUGCGUGCACAAGGCUUGGGUUGCCGAGGUAGUCGAGGCCGCCCUCGCUAAAGAUCUGGGAUCCAGCCUUGAACCAAACAGCCUCACCAAACUUAACGCCAUUGCGGGCGAGUAGCUCGGGGAAGACGCAACCGAGCGCGCCAAGCAUGGCCCAACGGCAGUGGAUCACCUCGAGUUCCCGGUUCUUAGCGAAGGUCUCGGGGUCAGCCGACAACCCAGCGGUGUCCCACCCGUAGUCGCCGGGGAACUCACCGGUCAGGUAGCUCGGGGGCUCACCAGAAAGUGGGCCGAGGUAGAGCACGCGGUCAGAACCGUACCACGGGCUGCCGGAGGCAACCUGCUUGGCCUUUGCCGCCGUCUUGCGCAUGGUAACGCGAGCCUCCCCGAAAACAGAUGACGAUGGCAGGUUCUUCACUGCCUUGCCGGCGAAGGCUGGGGAAGAGAGUGACAUGGUGGUUGCAGCCAUUCUGAUCGAAGGAGGUUCUGUGUGUUCUCCAAGAACGAGGAGUGGGUGUGGAGAUGGCUUAAGAGGAUCGGGGCAAGGGGCUUCUUAAGGCAGUGGACGGGCAGAGGAAAUUGAACUGGUGUAAGCUGACAGGAGAGAGGUGUAUAGCAAGAAAUCUGUAUGUUGGAUGUCAUUGGUGCAGAGUGAGAGCCACAAGGAGAUCAGAUAUACUUUUGGAUCUUGCGGAUAUGGCUUAGCUGGGAAUCUCCUUAGAGAGCAGUGAUUGGAUGACACGCUGGUAUGCACGUGAGCAUGCCAUGUAUUUUCCCCCAAAAGGACAAUAUUGGAUAUCCAUUCUUGCAACCAAGGAAUAUCACCGCAAUUGUUGAGCAAAUUUCUAUUUGACUGACUGUACAUUUUAUUGACAUCGUUAUCUGAAAUAGAAACGGAGACAUGCUCAUGCAUGUGCGUCCAUGCUACUGCUAGCAGCAUCGAGCAGAGCAUACGGCAAAUACGAGCUAGCAGCGGGAAGAAACAUACCAUGAUCGUCGCACAUAUUUUUAUUUUUUUAGAAAAGGAGGCUAAACCCCCGGCCUCUGCACAUGACCAUACCUAUUGCAAAGAUGGACUGAUAAAAUGGUACUCCAUCCAUUUCAUAUUAGUUGUCGCUCAAACAGAUGUAUAUAGCACUGAAAUACGUCUAAAUACAUAAAGCGAAAGGCAUAUGUUUCAAACUUUCUUCCCUAUUAGUUUUAUUACCAUAGUCAUAAUGUGCAUAAUAUGUUACCAAUGGAAAUUUUUCUUUUUGAUACCAUGAAAACUCAUUUUCAUAAGACAUAAAGUUCUUAAUAAUAUGAUUUUAAAAUUAGAUUAUUCUAAUCUUAAAUAUAAUUAUCCAUACUAAAAAUAUUGUCCACACACUUGCGCAGGCCACACAAUUGAUCUCUCUUUUCUCUGAAAGAGUUGAGGUCUCUCUGGACUUCUUUUUCCUCGCUCCCAGAUUCAGAAACAAAGCAGACCAGCACGAUAGUAGUUGACUGAUUGUCCAGGUGUCUGGUGAUGAAUUUAUUAUACGGCUCGAAUAGUUGGGUUUCUUUCUUCGAAAGAGAAAGGCAAUGCCUCCGGGCUCGGCUCAGAUAACUGCCGUUUGUUGUCUUCUGGACCGUUGGUACUUUGUUCAUCCUCCAAGAUCAAAGAUUAUUGCUCCCUUAACUGUUUAUACAUUCAGCUAUCAGAUAGUACAUGCUCUUUAAAAUGUUGUCCUACAAAAUCGAUGAAGUUAUCUGUUUCUGAAGGUUCGGAUUCAGACCCUUUGCUAGUUUUCCACAUUGCUAGAUCAAUAUAGAUGUGUUGAGUUUUUCCAAACUAUAAGAAAAAAUUGCAGAGAGAUCUCAAAUAAGCCGAUGCACUCCGGUGAAGCAUGCAUAACUCAAAUUUCUAUCUUGCUUUUAGGCCAGUAACCACUCAUCAUUUUUGUUGCCUGGUAUUUCGACUGAAAGCCUGAACAACGCCUCAACCAUGUACCACUGUCUUCUCGAUGCAGCCCGGCAAAUUUGCCAAUGUAUAUGAUACAUAAGUUGCCGCGCCCAAAGCACAACACGGUACAGGUGUUGCACAAAUGUGAACCCGACGCAUUCGUUAAGAUGAUCAUGUCAAAUGGGUGAGAUUGAAAGUGGGAAAACAUAAGUUGCCGUCGCCCCCAACACGGUACAGGUGUUACACAAAUGCUAACCCGACGUAUUCGUUGAGAUGAUCGUGUCAAAUGGGUGAAAUCGAAUGUGGGAAAACAUAAGUAGCCGACACCCAAAGCACCGCGAACCCGACGUAUUCGUUCAGAUGAUCAUGUCAAAUGGGUGAGAUCGAAAGUGGAAAAACAUAAGUUGCCGUCGCCCAAAGCACAACACAGUAGAGGUGUUACACAAAUGCAANNNNNNNNNNNNNNNNNNNNNNNNNNNNNNNNNNNNNNNNNNNNNNNNNNNNNNNNNNNNNNNNNNNNNNNNNNNNNNNNNNNNNNNNNNNNNNNNNNNNNNNNNNNNNNNNNNNNNNNNNNNNNNNNNNNNNNNNNNNNNNNNNNNNNNNNNNNNNNNNNNNNNNNNNNNNNNNNNNNNNNNNNNNNNNNNNNNNNNNNNNNNNNNNNNNNNNNNNNNNNNNNNNNNNNNNNNNNNNNNNNNNNNNNNNNNNNNNNNNNNNNNNNNNNNNNNNNNNNNNNNNNNNNNNNNNNNNNNNNNNNNNNNNNNNNNNNNNNNNNNNNNNNNNNNNNNNNNNNNNNNNNNNNNNNNNNNNUGGGAAAACAUAAGUUGCUGUCGCCCAUAGCACAACACAGUAGAGGUGUUACACAAAUGCAAACCCGACGUAUUCGUUCAGAUGAUCAUGUCAAAUGGGCGAGAUCGAAAGUGGGGAAACAUAAGUUGUUGUCGCCCAAAGCACAACACAGCAGAGGUGUUACACAAAUGCAAACCCGACGUAUUCGUUCAGAUGAUCAUGUCAAAUGGGUGAGAUCGAAAGUGGGAAAACAUAAGAUUUUGCGCAGGAACCUCGUAAAUUUUCCAUAUAAUUAAAUCCUCGUAAUUUACAUCAUGGUAGUACAACUCAGACAGCCAACAACAGACUUCACCGCAAGCAUGCACGCACACACACCUUACUUGCCGGGAACGAAGUUGGUGGCGAAUGCCCAGGCGUUGUUGUUGACGGGGUCAGUGAGGUGGUCAGCGAGGUUUUCGAGUGGACCCUUACCGGUGAUGAUGGCUUGCACAAAGAAACCAAACAUGGAGAACAUGGCGAGGCGGCCGUUCUUGAUCUCCUUAACCUUGAGCUCGGCGAAUGCCUCAGGGUCGUCGGCAAGGCCGAGUGGGUCGAAGCUACCGCCCGAGUAGAGCGGGUCAACGAUCUCACCAAGUGGUCCACCGGCAAUGCGGUAGCCCUCGACGGCGCCCAUGAGCACGACCUGACAAGCCCAGAUGGCAAGGAUACUCUGGGCGUGCACAAGGCUUGGGUUGCCGAGGUAGUCGAGGCCGCCCUCGCUGAAGAUCUGGGAUCCGGCCUUGAACCAAACAGCCUCGCCGAACUUCACACCGUUGCGGGCGAGCAGCUCGGGGAAGACGCACCCGAGCGCGCCAAGCAUGGCCCAACGACAAUGGAUCACCUCCAGCUCACGGUUCUUGGCAAAGGUCUCAGGGUCGGCCGACAGCCCAGCGGUGUCCCAGCCGUAGUCGCCAGGGAACUCACCAUUGAGGUAGCUCGGGGGCUCGCCAGAAAGUGGGCCGAGGUAGAGCACGCGGUCAGAGCCAUACCACGGGCUGCCGGAGACAACCUGCUUGGCCUUUGCCGCCGUCUUGCGCAUGGUGACGCGGGCGUCCCCGAAAAGAGACGAUGAUGGCAAGUUCUUGACUGCCUUGCCGGCAAAGGCUGGAGAAGAGAGUGACAUGGUGGUUGCGGCCAUUCUGAUCGAUGGAGGUCCUCGGUAUUCUGUUCUCCAAGAAUGAGGAGUGGGUGUGGAGAUGUCUUGAGAGGAUCGGAGCCCGGGGCUUCUUAAGGCAGUGGCUUCUGUAUGUGUCAAGAGAGAGGUGCGGGACAGGAAAUCUGUAUCUUGGAUGCCAUUGGUGCGGAGAGACUUCGAGAGCCACACGGAGAUUAGAUAUACUUGUGGCUAUGGCUAAGCUGGGAAUCUCCUUGGAGAACGGUGAUUGGAUUACAUGCUGGCAUGCACGUGGGCAUGCCAUGCCUUUCCCCCCAAAAGGAAAAUAUAGGGUAUCCAUUAUUGCAGCGAAUGAACUUGCCACCACAACCGUUGAACAAACACAUAAUGCAUGGAUGCAAUUCCUAAUUGACUGCUGUGCAUAAAAACAGAGAUGCUCAUGCAUGUGCCUCGAUGCUAUACGAAAUUUCUUCAAAAAUAGAUGAUGUAUAAUGCGUAUCAUAACAAUUCCCUAACUCUAACAAUCAGUAUACAGUCAAAUAACUGAAAUAAAAAUAGCAGUUCUAAAUUGUGAUGAAAAGUUAACCCUUUUUAAUUAUCUCAUUAAUAUAUCUAUCACUAAAUUCUGUUACAUUCUAUGAGCACAAUACAAAGGAGAAACAAAGAGUUAUGUUAUAAAUUCUCAUAAAAAUAUAUCUAGCCAUUGAUUAGAUGAGCCAUGAUAGUUAAGUAUAGCUUUUAAUGGAUUGGAUUAAAGUAAUUUCUUCCUGCCUAAGGCGUUAGUUUUUAAUAAAAUUUAUAGAAAUUUUCAUUCUUAUAUACACUUGGGGAAAUAUAUGACCCUCGCAAAUGCAUGUCUAAUACGCAUGCGGGUUGUGCGAUAUAUAUUUUACAUCUCACAUAGGCUAGACCGAAUCUAAGUUAUCUUUUGAUCAACUGUCCACCUAGGAUAUCCUUUGCUUAGAACCUCUCUUAGCAUUGUUUCUUUUCAUGGAAAACAACCACUGUAUAUUCACUUCUUCGAGGAUCAAGAUUUUUUCCCCACUAAAAAUAAUGAAAAAUACAAAUUAGGAAGUAAUAUAAAAUAUAAGAGUUGAUUUUUUAUCUUCAAAUUUCAUUUAUGGAGUGGUUGAGUGGCGUUACAAACAUGGCAUCAAUUGGAUGAUUAAAUAGGUUCCAACAUUUUAGUAUACUAAAAUGCAUCUACUAUAAAAUAAGUCGAUUAACAUCACGCUACCUAUGUGAACGAACUACCACCUUGGAACAAUCUUGAAGGUCGGAUUCUUCCAUUGCUUUUCAUUUUGCACCACAGUUAGCACAUUGAUAAUGCACUUUACACUAGGGGACACUGCUCGAGAGUGUGGUGAAAUACUUUGGUGAUCUUCCUGCUCUUGUCUUUUCCCAUCCAAUUGGCGAGAGACACAAUCCAACGCAAUCAAGUAGUACAACGAAUUUCCAGUCCAAUCGAAUGCAUGAAUGAUCUAGUCAAGAACUAAAAAUAAGCCAAUAAGUAGCUAACCACACAUCUCAGCGGCUAGCAGAAGCACACCGAAGGGGGUCGAGAAGGAGGCCACAGUCCGAUUGAGCUUCGCGGCGGAGUUGGUGCUCUCUAUCCAUCUCAACAGGCCACACGCGGGAGGUGGGGCCGUGCUUGCCUAUGGCCUCGGAGCAAGCCACCGCUUGGGACACACAUCCCAACUUGAUUGAUUCUAGACUUUCAAUCAGCAUGAAAUUCCGAUCAUGUAGUCACCGUGGUUCAGGAAUCGUUGAUACGAGGACAGGAUCCGACCGCUCUGAUAUGUGUAAAGUGUAUCUACAGUUUUUGCAUGUUCCAUACCAUAUCUCCAUCAUUUAUGCAAAUAUUUUGAAGAUUAUUUAGACUAACAUAUUAAUAAAAUUUCUAGUGUUAGUUCUUAUUUUAGUGUUCAUGUUUGCAAGUAAAUUAGGUAUUUUAAGCCUUCAGAAAAACCCAAGAAAAAAAUAAGAUGAUGAUGUGUAUGCACCAAGGAGCAUCGAGGUGGCUGGGAGUUGGGCUCGAAGGGCACGUAGGCGCCACUGCAGGCGCCUAGAGAGGGCUAGGAGAUGUAGGAACCUUCUGGAGCCCUUCUUUGGCAGCUAACUUUCCCCUGAAGUAUUUUAAUGGCCCUAAAAAUAUAUAUUUUUUGUAGUUAUGAAUAAUAACUAGUCAUGAUCACUAUUAGGGAAAAGCCUAUACACAGAAUCUUACCAGCAUCGUGCUUCAAAAUAAAACGCUGCUGCUAACUAGCAGUAGCGCGCGCGCACAAAACUCGCUGCUGAAAUAAAUGUAUCAGUAGCGCGCCCUCUCUAAGACGCGCUACUGCUAUAAUUGCCACGAUGCCGCCGCGAGGCUAGUUCUAGCAGCAGCGUGUUAAUAUGAAGAGCGCUACUGCUAUGGACCAUAACAGUAGCGCAUUUACACAAUAACCGCUACUGCUAAGUGUAGGAUCGAAAGUAUGUCUAGAAGGGGGGUGAUUAGACAACUUGACCAAAUAAAAAUCUAGCCUUUUUCCAAUUUUAAUUCUUGGCAAAUUUUAACAACUUAGCACAAGUCAAGCAAUCAAUCUACAUAUGCAAUUCUAAGAGUAUUGUAGCGGAAUGUAAAACAAAUGCAUAUGAAGGUAAAGGGAGGAGUUUGAGGGAGCAAACGCAAUGUUGACAUGGAGAUUUUUUAUCCGUGGUUCCGAUAGGUGGUGCUAUCGUACAUCCACGUUGAUGGAGACUUCAACCCACGAAGGGUAACGGUUGCGCGAGUCCACGGAGGGCUCCACCCACGAAGGUGUUGGGGAACGUAGCAAUAAUUCAAAAUUUUCCUACGUGUCACCAAGAUCAAUCUAGGAGAUGCUAGCAACGAGAGAGAGGGAGUGCAUCUUCAUACCCUUGAAGAUCGUAAGCGGAAGCGUUACAAGGACGCGGUUGAUGGAGUCGUACUCGCGGCGAUUCAAAUCGCGGAAGAUCCGAUCUAGCGCCGAACGGACGGCGCCUCCGCGUUCAACACACGUACAACCCGGGGACGUCUCCUCCUUCUUGAUCCAGCAAGGGGAGAGGAGAAGUUGAGGGAGAACUCCAGCAGCACGACGGCGUGGUGGCGAUGGAGCUUGUGGUUCUCCGGCAGAGCUUCGCUAAGCACUACGGAGGAGGAGGAGGAGUUGGAGGAGGAGAGGGCUGCGCCAGGCAAGGGGUGCGGCUGCCCUCUCUCUCCCUCACUAUAUAUAGGGGGAAGGGGGUGGAGGAGGCGCCCUAUGGUUCCCUAGGGGAGGGGCGGCGGCCACAGGGGAAACCUAGAUGGGUUUGGGCGCCCCCACCCCUGGGAAACUUGCCCCCCAAGCCGGGAGGGGUGGCUGCCCUAGGGGAGGCGCCCCCACCUCUCCACGUUACGUGAGAGGGGUUGGGAGGGGCGCACAUCCCCUUAGUGGGCUGGUGUACCCCCUCCCCUUGGCCCAUAAGGCCCCCCAACGCUUGCCGGGGCCUCCGAAACACCUUUCGGUCACGCUGGUCGUCACCCAGUACUCCCAGAACAAUUCCGGACUCAAAUACCCUUCGUCCAAUAUAUCGAUCUUCACCUCCGGACCACUCCGGAGUUCCUCGUCACGUCCGGGAUCUCAUCCGGGACUCCGAACAACCUUCGGUAACCACAUACUAUUUCCCAUAACAACUCUAGCGUCACCGAACCUUAAGUGUGUAGACCCUACGGGUUCGGGAACCAUGCAGACAUGACCGAGACGUUCUCCAGCCAAUAACCAACAGCGGGAUCUCGAUACCCAUAUUGGCUCCCACAUGUUGCACGAUGAUCUCAUCGGAUGAACCACAAUGUCGUGGAUUCAAUCAAUCCCGUAUUCAAUUCCCUUUGUCUAUCGGUAUGUUACUUGCCCGAGAUUCGAUCGUCGGUAUCCCCAUACCUCGUUCAAUCUUGUUACCGGCAAGUCUCUUUACUCGUUCCGUAACGCAUGAUCCCGUGACUAACUCCUUAGUCACAUUGAGCUCAUUAUGAUGAUGCACUACCGAGUGGGCCCAGAGAUACCUCUCCGUCAUACGGAGUGACAAAUCCCAGUCUCGAUUCGUGCCAACCCAACAGACACUUUCGGAGAUACCUGUAGUGCACCUUUAUAGCCACACAGUUACGUUGUGACGUUUGAUACACCCAAAGCAUUCCUACGGUAUCCGGGAGUUGCACAAUCUCAUGGUCUAAGGAAAUGAUACUUGACAUUAGAAAUCUAGCAAACGAACUACACGAUCUUGUGCUAUGCUUAGGAUUGGGUCUUGUCCAUCACAUCAUUCUCCCAAUUAUGUGAUCCCGUUAUCAACGACAUCCAAUGUCCAUGGCCAGGAAACCAUGGCCAUCUAUUGAUCAACGAGCUAGUCAACUAGAGGCUUACUAGGGACAUGUUGUGGUCUAUGUAUUCACACAUGUAUUACGGUUUCCAGUUAAUACAAUUAUAUCAUGAACAAUUGACAAUCAUCAUGAACAAGGAAAUACAAUAAUAACCAUUUAUUAUUGCCUCUAGGGCAUAUUUCCAACAGUCUCCCACUUGCACUAGAGUCAAUAAUCUAGUUCACAUCACUAUGUGAUUGUAAUGAAUCCAACACCCAUGGGGUUUGUUCAUAUCUCGCUUGUGAGAGAGGUUAUUAGUCAACGGGUCUGAACCUGUCAGAUCCGUGUGUGUUUUACAAAUCUAUAUGUCAUCUUGUAGAUGUAGCUACCACGCGCUACUUGGAGCUAUUCCAAAUAACUGAUCUACUAUACGAAUCUAGUUUACUACUCAGAGUCAUCCGGAUUAGUGUCAAAGUUUGCAUCGACGUAACCCCUUACGACGAACUCUUUUACCACCUCCAUAAUCGAGAAAAUUCCUUAGUCCACUAAUUACUAAGGAUAAGUUCGACCGCUGUCAUGUGAUCCAUUCCUGGAUCACUCUUGUACCCCUUGACUAAUUCAUGGCAAGGCACACUUCAGGUGCGGUACACAACAUAGCAUACUGUAGAGCCUACGUCUAAAGCAUAGGGGACGACCUUCGUCCUUUCUCUCUCUUCUGCCGUGGUCAGGUCUUGAGUCUUACUCAAUACUCACACCUUGUAACACAGCCAAGAACUCCUUUGCUGAUCUAUUUUGAACUCCUUCAAAAUCUUGUCACGGUAUGUAUUCAUUUGAAAGAACUAUUAAGCAUUUUUGAUCUAUCCUUAUAGAUCUUGAUGCUCAAUGUUCAAGUAGCUUAAUCCAGGUUUUCCAUUGAAAAACACUUUUCAAAUAACCCUGUAUGCUUUCCAGAAAUUCUACAUCAUUUCUGAUCAACAAUAUGUUAACAACAUAUACUCAUCAAAAAAUCUAUAGUGCUCCCACUCACUUCUUUGGAAAUACAAGUUUCUCAUAAAUUUUGUAUAAACCCAAAAUCUUUGAUCAUCUCAUCAAAGCGUACAUUCCAACCCCGAGAUGCUUACUCCAGUCCUUAGAAGGAUUGCUGGAGCUUUGCAUACUUGUUAGCAUCUUUCAGGAUUGACAAAACCUUCUGGUUGUAUCACAUACAACCUUUCCUCAAGAAAAUCGUCGAGGAAACAAUGUUUUGACAUCCUAUCUGCAAGAUUUCAUAAAUAAUGCAGUAACUGCUAAUAUAAUUCCGACAGACUCUUAGCAUCGCUACGAGUGAGAAAGUCUCAUCGUAGUCAACUCCUUGAACUUGUCGGAAAACAUCCUAACGACAAGUCGAGCCUUUUUAAUGGUGACACUUACCAUCAUUGUCCGUCUUCCUUUUAAAAUCCAUCUGCACCCAACAACCUUACGACCAUCAAGUAGUUCUUCCAAAGUCUAUACUUUGCUUUUAUACAGGGAUCCUCUCUCGGAUUUUAUGGCCUUGAGCCAUUCGUCGGAAUCCGGGCCCACCAUCGCUUCUCCAUAGCUCGUAGGUUCAUUGUUAUCUAGCAACAUGACUUCCAGGAUAGGAUUACGUACCACUCUGAAGUAGUAUGCAUCCUUGUCGACCUACGAGGUUUGGUAGUGACUUGAUCCGAAGUUUCAUGAUCACUAUCAUAAGCUUCCACUUCAAUUGGUGUAGGUGCCACAGGAACAACUUCCUGUGCCCUGCUACACACUAGUUGAAGUGACAGUUCAAUAACCUCAUCAAGUCUCCACCAUCCUCCCACUCAAUUCUUUCGAGAGAAACUUUUCCUCGAGAAAGGACCCAUUUCUAGAAACAAUCACUUUUGCUUCCAGAUCUGAAAUAGGAGGUAUACCCAACUGUUUUGGGUAUUCUAUGAAGAUGCAUUUAUCUGCUUUGGGUUCGAGCUUAUCAGCCUGAAACUUUUUCACAUAAGCGUCGCAGCCCCAAACUUUUAAGAAACGACAGCUUAGGUUUCUCUAAACCAUAGUUCAUACGGUGUCGUCUCAACGGAAUUGCGUGGUGCCCUAUUUAAAGUGAAUGCGGUUGUCUCUAACGCCUAACCCAUAAACGAUAGUGGUAAUUCGAUAAGACACAUCAUGGUAUGCACCAUAUCCAAUAGGGUGCAGUUAUGAUGUUCGGACACACCAUCACACUAUGGUGUUCCAGGCGGUAUUAGUUGUGAAACAAUUUCCACAAUGUCUUAAUUGUGUGCCAAACUCGUAACUCAGAUAUUCAUCUCUAUGAUCAUAUCAUAGACAGUUUAUCCUCUUGUCACGACGAUCUUCAACUUCACUUUGAAAUUACUUAAACCUUUCAAUAAUUCAGACUUGUGUUUCAUCAAGUAAAUAUACUCAGCAUCUACUCAAAUCAUCUGUGAAGUAAGAACAUAACGAUAUCCACUGCGUGCCUCAGCACUCAUUGGACUGCACACAUCAAAAUUUAUUACUUCCAACAAGUUGCUUUCUUGUUCCAUCUUACUGAAAAUGAGGCCUUUCAGUCAUCUUGCCCAUGUGGUAUGAUUUGCAUGUCCCAAGUGAUUCAAAAUCAAGUGAGUCCAAACGAUCCAUCUGUAUGGAGUUUCUUCAUGCAUAUCUACCAAUAGACAUGGUUCGCAUGUCUCAAUCUUUUCAAAAACGAGUGAGUCCAAAGAUCCAUCAACAUGGAGCUUCUUCAUGCGUUUUAUACCAAUAUGACUCAAAUGGCAGUGCCACAAGUAUGUGGUACUAUCAUUACUAUUUUAUAUCUUUUGGCAUGAACAUGUGUAUCACUACGAUCGAGAUUCAAUAAACCAUUCAUUUUAGGUGCAAGACCAUUGAAGGUAUUAUUCAAAUAAAUAGAGUAACCAUUAUUCUUCUUAAAUGAAUAACCGUAUUGCGAUAAACAUAAUCCAAUCAUGUCUAUGCUCAACGCAAACAUCAAAUAACAAUUAUUUAGGUUUAAUACCAAUCCCGAUGGUAGAGGGAGCGUACGAUGUUUGAUUACAUCAACCUUGGAAACACUUCCAACACAUAUCGUCAUCUCACCUUUAGCUAGUCUCCGUUUAUUCCGUAGCCUUUUAUUUCGAGUUACCAACACUUAGCAACCGAAUCGGUAUCUAAUACCCUGGUGCUACUAGGAGUACUAGUAAAGUACACAUUAAUAUACUGUAUAUCCAAUAUACUUCUGUCGACCUUGCCAGCCUUCUCAUCUACCAAGUAUCUAGGGUAGCUCUGCUUCAGUGACCGUUCCCCUCAUUACAGAAGCACUUAGUCUCGGGUUUGGGUUCAACCUUGGGUUUCUUCACUAGAGCAGCAACUGAUUUGCCGUUUCAUGAAGUAUCCCUUCUUUCCCUUGCCCUUCUUGAAACUAGUGGUUUUACUAACCAUCAACAAUUGAUGCUCCUACUUGAUUUCUACUUUCGCGGUGUCAAACAUCGCGAGUUGCUCAAGGAUCAUCAUGUCUAUCCCUGAUAUGUUAUAGUUCAUCACGAAGCUCUAAUAGCUUGGUGGCAGUGACUAUGGAGAACCAUCACUAUCUCAUCUGGAAGAUUAACUCCCACUCGAUUCAAGCGAUUGUAGUACUCAGACAAUCUGAGCACAUGCUCAACGAUUGAGCUUUUCUCCCUUAGUUUGCAGGCUUAAGAAACUUGUCUAAGGUCUCAUACCUCUUGACGUGGGCACUAGUCUGAAAUCCCAAUUUUAGUCUUUGGAACAUCUCAUAUGUUCUGCGAUGUUUCAUAAACGUCUUUGUCACCUCAAUUCUAAACCGUUAGCAUUACGCACUGAACUAUCACGUAGUCAUCAAAACGUGUAUGUCAGAUGUUCGCAACAUCCACAGACGACGCUCGAGGUUCAGCACACCGAGCGGUGCAUUAAGGACAUAAUCCUUCUGUGCAGCAAUGAGGAUAAUCCUCAGUUUACGGACCCAGUCCGCAUAAUUUCUACUAUCAACUUUCAACUAAAUUUUCUCUAGGAACAUAUCUUAAACAGUAGAACCAAAGCGUAAGAUAUGACAUAAUUUGCAAAGACCUUUUGACUAUGUUCAUGAUAAUUAAGUUCAUCUGAUUAUUUAAUGAACUCCCACUUAGAUAGACAUCCCUCUAGUCAUCUAAGUGAACAUGAUCCGAAUCGACUAGACCGUGUCCGAUCAUCACGUGAGACGGACUAGUCAUCAUCGGUGAACAUCUUCAUGUUGAUCAUAUCUACUAUACGACUCAUGUUCGACCUUUCGGUCUCUUGUGUUCCGAGGCCAUGUCUGUACAUGCUAGGCUCGUCAAGUCAACCUAAGUGUUUCGCAUGUGUAAAUCUAGCUUACACCCGUUGUAUGCGAACGUUAGAAUCUAUCACACCUGAUCAUCACGUGGUGCUUUCGAAACAAUGAACCUUCGCAACGGUGCACAGUUAGGGGGAACACAUCUCUUGAAAUUUUAGUGAGGGAUCAUCUUAUUUAUGCUACCGUCGUUCUAAGCAAAUAAGAUGUAAACAUGACAAACAUCACAUGCAAAUCAUAAAGUGACAUGAUAUGGCCAAUAUCACCUUGCAACUUUGAUCUCCAUCUUCGAGGCGCGGCAUGAUCACCUUCGUCACCGGCAUGACACCAUGAUCUCCAUCAUCAUGAUCUCCAUCAUCGUGUCUUCAUGAAGUUGUCUCGCCAACUAUUACUUCUACUACUAUGGCUAACGGUUAGCAAUAAAGUAAAGUAAUUACAUGGCAUUUUUCAUUGACACGCAGGUCAUACAAUAAAUUAAGACAACUCCUAUGGCUCCUGUCGGUUGUCAUACUCAUCGACAUGCAAGUCGUGAUUCCUAUUACAAAAACAUGAUCAAUCUCAUACAUCACAUAUAUAUAAUUCAUCACAUCCUUUUGGCCAUAUCACAUCACAUAGCAUACCCUGCAAAAACAAGUUAGACGUCCUCUAAUUGUUGUUGCAUGUUUUACGUGGCAGCUAUGGGUUUCUAGCAAGAACGUUUCUUACCUACGCAAAAGCCACAACGGUGAUAUGCCAAUUGCUAUUUACCCUUCAUAAGGACCCUCUUCAUCGAAUCCGAUCCGACUAAAGUGGGAGAGACAGACACCCGCUAGCCACCUUAUGCAUCAAGUGCAUGUCUGUCGGUGGAACCUGUCUCACGUAAGUGUACGUGUAAGGUCGGUCCGGGCCGCUUCAUCCCACAAUGCCGCCGAAUCAAGAUAAGACUAGUAACGGCAAGCAAAUGGAACAAAUCAUCGCCCACAACUACUUUGUGUUCUACUCGUGCAUAGAAUCUACGCAUAGACCUAGCUUAUGAUGCCACUGUUGGGGAACGUAACAAUAAUUCAAAAUUUUCCUACGUGUCACCAAGAUCAAUCUAGGAGAUGCUAGCAACGAGAUAGAGGGAGUGCAUCUUCAUACCCUUGAAGAUCGCUAAGCGGAAGCGUUACAAGAACGCGGUUGAUGGAGUCAUACUCGCGGCGAUUCAAAUCGCGGAAGAUCCGAACUAGCGCCGAACGGACGGCGCCUCCGCGUUCAACACACGUACAGCCCAGGGACGUCUCCUCCUUCUUGAUCUAGUAAGGGGAGAGAAGAAGUUGAGGGAGAACUCCAGCAGCACGACGGCGUGGUGGCGAUGGAGCUCGUGGUUCUCCGGCAGAGCUUCGCUAAGCACUACGGAGGAGGAGGAGUUAGAGGAGGAGAGGGCUGCGCCAGGCAAGGGGUGCGGCUGCCCUCUCUCUCCCUCACUAUAUAUAGGGGGAAGGGGGUGGAGGAGGCGCCCUAUGGUUCCCUAGGGGAGGGGCGGCGGCCACAGGGGAAACCCUAGAUGGGUUUGGGCGCCCCCACCCCUGGGAAACUUGCCCCCCAAGCCGGGAGGGGUGGCUGCCCUAGGGGAGGCGCCCCCACCUCUCCACGUUACGUGAGAGGGGUUAGGAGGGGAGCACAGCCCCUUAGUGGGCUGGUGUGCCCCCUCCCCUUGGCCCAUAAGGCCCCCCAACGCUUGCCGGGGCCUCCGAAACACCUUUCGGUCACGCUGGUCGUCACUCGUUACUCCCAGAACAAUUCCGGACUCCAAUACCCUUCGUCCAAUAUAUCGAUCUUCACCUCCGGACCACUCCGGAGUUCCUCGUCACGUCCGGGAUCUCAUCCGGGACUCCGAACAACCUUCGGUAACCACAUACUAUUUCCCAUAACAACUCUAGCAUCACCGAACCUUAAGUGUGUAUGUUACCGGCAAGUCUCUUUACUCGUUCCGUAACGCAUGAUCCCGUGACUAACUCCUUAGUCACAUUGAGCUCAUUAUGAUGAUGCAUUACCGAGUGGGCCCAGAGAUACCUCUCCGUCAUACGGAGUGACAAAUCCCAGUCUCGAUUCGUGCCAACCCAGCAGACAGUUUUGGAGAUACCUGUAGUGCACCUUUAUAGCCACCCAGUUACGUUGUGACGUUUGAUACACCCAAAGCAUUCCUACGGUAUCCGUGAGUUGCACAAUCUCAUGGUCUAAGGAAAUGAUACUUGACAUUAGAAAAUCUCUAGCAAACGAACUACACGAUCUUGUGCUAUGCUUAGGAUUGGGUCUUGUCCAUCACAUCAUUCUCCCAAUGAUGUUAUCCUGUUAUCAACGACAUCCAAUGUCCAUGGCCAGGAAAUCAUGACCAUCUAUUGAUCAACGAGCUAGUCAACUAGAGGCUAACUAGGGACAUGUUGUGGUCUAUGUAUUCACACAUGUAUUACGGUUUCCAGUUAAUACAAUUAUAGCAUGAACAAUAGACAAUCAUCAUGAACAAGGAAAUACAAUAAUAACCAUUUAUUAUUGCCUCUAGGGCAUAUUUCCAACAGAAGGGUCCACGAAGAAGCAACCUUGUCUAUCCCACCAUGGCCGUCACCCACGAAGGACUUGCCUCACUAGGGUAGAUCUUCACGAAGUAGGCGAUCCCCUUGCCCUUACAAACUCCUUGGUUCAACUCCACAGUCUUGUCGGAGGCUCCGAAGUGACACCUAGCCAAUCUAGGAGACACCACUCUCCAAGAAGUAACAAAUGGUGUGUUGAUGAUGAACUCCUUGCUCUUGUGCUUCAAAUGAGAUGCCAAUUUAGUUAAAUUUGCCACUUGUUUUUUUAAUCAAUUAUCUUAGGCAAUAGGGGCCAAAUGAGAUGAAAUGUCUUGGUAGCUGGUACCCUUAUUUGGUAGAUAUUUGUGAAAAGUUUUUUCGGCAAUAGGUGCCACCGAAAUGCUUUGUCCAUCAAAUUGCUUCUCGCGGAAGAACCAAACAUAUCACAUGCUACUGUUUUUCUUUCCUGUGAAGUGAAUCGUUAAUCCUUUGCUCAUAUUGCUUUAGGAAAAUGGCGCCACCACCACCACCACUAUGUCGACUGUGCAAGUCAAGGUGCGCCAGCAACCUUGCAACUGGCAAGCUGUUCGGCGUCUACUUCCAGCCGAGUUUUCAUCAUGCGGCGGUAAGAAAUUAGAUGAAAUGUAACAACUAUUUUAUUUUUAGUGUUGGCAUUACUGCAUUGUGUCAUUUUUCUUUUUUUACACAGAUCGUCCCAUGCAAUGUGAGGUUGAAAUUCAACAAGCUGACAGGAGACACUGUGACAUUUGAGGCUCCUGGGGGGCCGUACACUAUGGAGGUCGAGAAAGGACGCAAUAUGUCGCAGAUUGGAGAUGGAUGGGCCCGUUUCCUUGCCCACACGCGUCUUACUGGUGGUGAGUUGAUCAGCUUCUCCUUCAGAGCAGAAAGACCCAAGCUGACUGUCAUUUAUCUCAACCUGGUGUAAGAUGACGAAGAUGAUGAAGAUAAUGAGGACCCACUCGAUAAAGAUGAUGAGAACCCACUUCAUGAAGCCAUCGUAGCUCAAAGAAUGAGGCUGAGCGAGGAGGAGGUGUGCAACCUAUGGGACAUAAUUCCGCCACGUGAUGACUUUGUCGGGGUGCCAUUCGUGACCCGCCUGACAAGUACCAUGGUCGAUCGGCAUGAAAUGGUAUGUUAUACGUACUGCCUGUAUUAAUUUGAUGAUAUAUAUAUAUGCUUUAUUGUUAUACUUACAAAUGAAAAUUAUGCGAUAAUAUGCUUAGUGAAUCCGAUGAUAUGCUUAGUGUAGAGUCCAAUGAUAUGCUUUGUGGAAUCUAGUUGAUGAUAUGCUUUAGUGUAGAGUCUGAUCACAUGCUCUUAUUAGUGUAGAAUCCAAGGAACUAUUGAUAGUGUAGAUAAUCCAUAUAUACUUAUUAGUAGAAUUCAUGAUUAGUUAGUACAAAUGCAUAGUACUGUGUCUUUUGAUAGUGUAGAAAUCUAGACUUAAUAGAAAUAUAUUUGCAAGAGUAUGUGCGAGGCUAUUUAUUAAUUGAUAUGUUUUUCUUAUUCAGAAAUUGCCAAAGAACCUAUCUGUGAGUUGUGGUAUCGAGCCUGAUGAAGAAGGCUCAGCUGGACUACGCCUUACCACAAGGGGCUCCGUCACCACCUGUACUUACCGCAUGGACACAGACGGAACCAAGGAGUACUACCUAGUACCUAUAAUGCUUUAUGAAAUUGAUAUCUAGUAGUACCUAGUAUUUGGAAAUUGCAGUUUAUUGAAGCUGAAAUGGGGUAGGAAGCCGGGGGAAAUGAUGAAAGAUAUAGCAGUAGCGCGGGGCCAGGAAAUCCCUACAGCUAAUUAAUAGUAGCGCAUUCCGGAAACGCGUUGCUGAUAUAGUCCAUAGUAGUAGCGCGGUCCGCGCUACUACUAACAGUUAGCUGUAGGGCCUUAUUGGUAGCGCGGCUGCCCGCGCUGCUGAUAGCCUCAAAACCCGCGCUACUACUAGGGUUUUCCCUAGUAGUGGAUGUUUUUAUUGCCACUCUAUUAAUUUAACAAAUGUAUGCUUUAUUGUGUGAAGAUGCUUGUAUUUGUAUAAUUGAGAUUAUAUUGACAAAGUAGGUUUCGUUAAAACUAUUUUUCAUCGGUUGAUAUUUGUUCAACAACUUAAUGUUUUGGAUUAUAAUAUUGACACUUAAUUUGCCGGCUUAUUUUCAUCAAUAUUUUUAGCCACAUUUUCUCUCUUAUAAUGACAUUAAUCUAAAAUUUUAACUUAAUAUUGAAAAUGAUAAUUAACCUUACUUUUAUCUAAUCUUUCAAACCUCAGAUGUAAUAGUGUUUUUUCUUUGUAAGUUAUAUGUUUAAGUAUAAACAAAUAGAAAAUUCUAGAUUAUAUAGGGUGUCUAGGAGCAGUGUUUCCUAUUUUUCUGAAAUAUCUAUCUUGAAAUAGCAUUAGCUCAAUGAGCUAUAUAUUGUUAGGAAUUACCAAAACCACCCAGGGAUAGUUGCACUUUCAAUCUCCCCCUUUUUGGUAAUUGAUGAUAACAUAUAGAUCAAAGCUUCGACAAAUGAUAAAUAGUAUUGAAAAAACAUCGUCGCUUUGAGAAGUAUGUGAUAAGCAAGAGCUCCCCCUAAAUUUGUGCAUUAUUUAAAAUUUUCUUUUGAAUGCAAAUGCACAACCGAUUAGGAUCAUGGGUUACUCUUCCAUGUCACAUACAUCUUGGUGGAGCGCUCAAAAUGAUAGAAGUUAAAGCAUGCACUCAUCACCAAAACAAGUGAAUGGUCAUCUAGGAUAUAAGAGAUAAUUGUCGGAGUAAUGGGCCACGGGUAGCCUAACCCGAGCCCCCGAACCUUUCAAGACAUCGGGGCCGGCUGCGCCCCUCAAGACGUCAAGAUAGAUCUCUGCCUUCUGACGGCCGGUUGGCCGAACGGCCGACUGUCAGAAGGCGGCCGAGUUCCAGAAGACGGCAUCACAACAGGCCGACUCCUAGCGGGCGGCCUCCAGAGAGGCCGGCCCCUAGCAGUCGGCCCGUGGCGCCCUCAAAGUCUGCGCCCUCAUCAAGGAGACAAGACAGGGUGUGACUACAGCGUAGCCCAUCCCCAUGAAUCUAGGGCUGGGCGUGGCCACAGUGCCCCGUACAGGCGGAGAUCUCCGCACGGCGCGGCACUGUUGCCUCUCCCCCCUAAACGUCACUCCUAACAGGCGGAGCCCUGUUCCCACGACGGCCUGUCGGUACGGCUUGCAGACGGCGGGCCCUACCAGGCAGUGAGAGCCCUGAAGACGGAGGAAGCCAGGGCAGCCGGACCUGAGGGAAGCCGGCCUCCAGCAAGCGGCUUAUCCCUCCCUCGGGCCCCGUGCGCCAUGCUACCUCUUGAGCACUGCGUUAAUUUUCCCUUGAAGAGGAAAGGGUGAUGCAGCAAAGUAGCGUAAGUAUUUCCCUCAGUUUUUUAGAACCAAGGUAUCAAUCCAGUAGGAGGCUACACGCAAGUCCCUCGCACCUACACAAACAAAUAAAUCCUCGCAACCAAUGCGAUAAGGGGUUGUCAAUCCCUACACGGUCACUUACGAGAGUGAGACUGAUAGAUAUGAUAGGAUAAUAUUUUUGGUAUUUUUGUGAUAAAGAUGCAAAGUAAAGAAAGUAAAUAAAAACAGCAAAAGAAAUAGCUAAGUGUUGAAAGAUUAAUAUGAUGGAAAAUAGACCCCGGGGCCAUAGGUUUCACUAGUGGCUUCUCUAAAGAGCAUAAGUAUUUUACGGUGGGUGAAAAAAUUACUGUUGAGCAAUUGACAGAAUUGAGCAUAGUUAUGCGAAUAUCUAGGUAUGAUCAUGUAUAUAGGCAUCACGUCCGAGACAAGUAGACCGACUCCUGCCUGCAUCUACUACUAUUACUCCACACAUCGACCACUAUCCAGCAUGCAUCUAGAGUAUUAAGUUCAGAAGAACAGAGUAACACUUUAAGCAAGAUGACAUGAUGUAGAGGGAUAAAUUCAUGCAAUAUGAUAAAAAAAACAUCUUGUUAUCCUCGAUGGCAACAAUACAAUAUGUGCCUUGCUGCCCCUACUGUCACUGGGAAAGGACACCGCAAGAUUGAACCCAAAGCUAAGCACUUCUCCCAUUGCAAGAAAGAUCAAUCUAGUAGGCCAAACCAAACUGAUAAUUCGAAGAGACUUGCAAAGAUAACCAAUCAUACAUAAAAGAAUUCAGAAGAUUCAAAUAUUGUUCAUAGAUAAACUUGAUCAUAAAUCCACAAUUCAUCGGUCUCAACAAACACACCGCAAAAGAAGAUUACAUCGAAUAGAUCUCCACAAGAGAGGGGGAGAACAUUGUAUUGAGAGCCAAAAAGAGAGAAGAAGCCAUCUAGCUAAUAACUAUGGACCCGAAGGUCUGAGGUAAACUACUCACACUUCAUCGGAGAGGCUAUGGUGUUGAUGUAGAAGCCCUCCGUGAUCGAUGCCCCCUCCGGCGGAGCUCCGAAACAGGCCCCAAGAUGGGAUCUCGUGGGUACAGAAGGUUGCGGCGGUGGAAUUAGGUUUUUGGCUCUGUAUCUGAUCGUUUGGGGGUACGUAGGUAUAUAUAGGAGGAAGGAGUACGUCGGUGGAGCAACGUGGGGCCCACGGGGGUGGAGGGCGCGCCUGGGGGGGUUAGGCGCGCCCCCUACCUCGUGGCUUCCUGCUUGAUUUCUUGACAUAGGGUCCAAGUCCUCUGGAUCAUGUUCGUUCCGAAAAUCACGUUCCCGAAGGUUUCAUUCCGUUUGGACUCCGUUUGAUAUUCUUUUUCUGCGAAACUCUGAAAUAGGCAAAAAAACAGCAAUUCUGGGAUGGGCCUCCGGUUAAUAGGUUAGUCCCAAAAAUAAUAUAAAAGUGGAUAAUAAAGCCCAGUAAUGUCCAAAACGGAAGAUAAUAUAGCAUGGAGCAAUCAAUAAUUAUAGAUACGUUGGAGACGUAUCACGCCAUCAACCAGAUGAGACGUAGUGUGGCUACAGUAAUCGCUCGCCAGGCGGCGGGACUGUAGCCACGCUCCCCCGAUCAAGCCUGCGUCAUUAGCAUCACGGCUACAGUGAUCAGCAGCCGGCAAGACCCGCGAGCGGCGGGAGUGGCCUGUCGGCUCCGAACCAGACCAGUCGGCGGGGCCCACCGGGAGGCGGGCCCCAGCAGCUGGCGGAGAAGCCGGCGACCAGAGAGACUGACAGCCGGGUCCUACACCCAACUGGAUUACAAUUGUACCCCUGGGGGUAGGCCUAUAUAAACCCCCCAAGGCACCCAUGCAAAGGGUUCGAACCUGUUAGAACUAGACUCACACCUAGAGGAGGAGAGAGCGUGCCUGCCUUCUUUCACCUCUAGCAAACAGCUCAAGGAGCACCAUUGUUCCACUAGUGCCUUAGUGAUCAUGCGGAGACCCCGCAGAGCAGGACUAGGGGUGUUAUCUCCACGGAGAGCCCCGAACCUGGGUAAAGUUCGCUGGCGUACGUGUCUACGCCUCAUCCCGCUUCCAUGCACCGACGACGUUCUACUCGCUCCCAUUAUGAUAAGCCAUCCUUUGGCAUAUGUCGCACCCAACCCCCGACAUUUGGUGCCCACUGUGGGGCCAGGUGCACCGUCUCCCGGAGACCUGCUCUGGACGAGAACCUUGUUCCUUCCUGGCGAGCGCAGCCUGCCCGGCACGCCAGACGGCAUCUGCACCGACGCGCUGCGCGGCGCGGAGGUCGCCUGCGCGGCGAGCUGCCUCGCCGAUCUUGUUGGCGAGAUUCGCCUCUCCGACGAGCCCGCGUCUGAUGCGGGCACCGAUGGCCCUGAGAGCCGCCUCGCGAGCCUCCUCGAUCGGCUCCACGUCGCCAGCGAGCCUGCUGCUGACUUGGAGUCGGUUGGCUCCACCGACCCGAUGUUGGUCGACUCCGACACAGCAUCGCUCGACGCGUUCCCCACCAACAUGGUGGUCUACGAUGAUCCGCUUCCUCGCGCGGACAGCGGUGGAAGCACCGUCACGGAGGUGCUCGUCAUCAGCCACGGCGAGCACUCUGGCGGAGGUGGCCAGGACGCGUUGCAGACGGCAAUGCAAGACCUGGCUGCGCCUAUCCCGGAAGACGCCAACGCCGAGACGCUGGAAGCGCGCCGCGUCCAGCUCGUCGAGAGCGCCAACCGGCUAGCCAGCAUGAGACGCCUUUCGGAGGCCUACCAGCGGGAAAUUGACCGUGCCGUCGGCGGCACGCCGGCUCCUGGUGGGCCUAGCCGCAUUGGCUUGGUCCGGCAGCAUGGCGCGACCAUCGCCAGCAUGUUCGGGACAGAUCGUCCCGUCUACGCCACGCCUGCGGAGAACAUACGAGCUGCCCAGGCGGCAGCAGACGAGUUAGACAAGCUCGAGGGCGACGAGCGUCGCCACAUGACGGAGCGAGUUCAGCAGCUCCUCGACGCGGCUGCUGAGCACCAAGAUGCCAGGUGCCGGACUGAAGCGCCCAACCGGCGAAACGACGAUCCACCUCCUCGACAAGACCAAGGCGCGACAUCCCGGACACCGACUGGUGGCGUCCGCGACAGAAGAGACAAGGAGCCGACUGCCAGCCGCAGCCCGACUCGCAUCACCAUUGAGCGCGACCAAGACGGCCGCCCAAGAGCAGUGCAACGACGAGACGACUGUCCGCCUCCUCCUCCCCGCAGGGAGAGGCACAUUUCCCCGCCGCCUGUUGAUCACCCGUCACUCGGCGACCGCCUUGGCCGCCGAGAAGGAAUCGGGGAAAACGACGCCCGCCACCGGAUCGAUUGCCUCAAUGGAUCCCUGGCGCUAGAAGAAGAAGAUGAGCUGGGUCCGCCUUGCUUUGGCCCCCGCAUCCGAGACGAACCUUUCCCCAAAGGGUUCACGCUCCUGAGAGAUACACCCAAGUACACCGGCUCCAUGAGGCCGGAGGACUGGCUGGUCGACUACUCCACAGCCGUCAGCAUCGCGAACGGCAACAAGCGUGUUGCCGUGAAGUACGUUCCGCUCAUGCUCCAGGGCACGGCCCGGACAUAGCUAAACAGCCUGAAGCCCCGCAGCAUCAACAACUGGGUAGAUUUCACUGAAGCAUUCAUCCGCAACUUCACCAGCACGUACAAGCGGCCGCCCAAGCCUCGCCAACUCUCCUUGUGCGUCCAAGGCCCCAACGAGUCGAGUCGCGACUACCUCACGCGCUGGGCCGAACUACGCAACUCUUGUGAGGGCGUGCACGAGGUGCAGGCCAUCGAGUAUUUCACUGCCGGGUGCCGAGAGGACACCCUCCUCAAGCACAAGCUCCUCUGCGACGAGCCGGCAACCCUCGACGAACUGCUGGUCAUAGCCAACAAGUACGCCACGGCCGACUCCUCCAUGAAGACGGAGAUCCAAGUCAAUGUGUCGGGUAAGGUGGCCCCUCAAGCUCCUCGGACCCCGGCUAGUGACACCAGUCGGAGACAGCAACCAAACGACAACAAGCGCAAGGCCAUGCAGCCGGCUUCCUCGAGCCGGCAGGUGGAAACAGUCGAAGAUCAGCAGCCGGAAGGGCAGCCACCCCCAAGCGCCAGAAGGGCGGCAAGCCCAACUGGUUGCCCGCCUUCUCAUACGAGCAGACCCUUGAUGCACCCUGCAAAUUCCACAGCGGCGCGAAGCCGUCCAACCAUACAACUCGGAAGUGCCACUGGCUCACCAGGAUCGCUAAGGGUGACGGACUCCAGCCGACUCCGCCUGCCGGCCCGCCGCCUGCUCCUCAGCAGCCGGCGGCCCGGCCAGUCGGUGCCAUACAAGAUGAAUACCCUGAAGAGCAUGGAGCCUAUGUUGUGUUCACCAGCGUGGCCGACGACAAGCGCAGCAGACGGCAGCAGCAACAAGAAGUGAAUGCGGUAGCAUCAGAGGCCCCCGAAUUCAUGCACUGGUCUGAGAAGCCCAUCAGCUGGAGCAGAGCUGACCACCCGGAGGUGAUGCCAAAUCCCGGCUCUUAUGCCUUGGUGUUGGAUGCCACCUUUGCCACUGAGAGGCGAGCCGCUCGUUUUUCCCGAGUUUUGAUAGAUGGCGGCGGCAGCAUCAACAUCUUGUACAAAGAUACCAUGGAGAAGUUGGGAAUCAAGCAGAGACAUCUUCAGCCCAGCCGGACUGUUUUCCAUGGCAUAGUUCAUGGCCUUUCCUGCCCACCAAUCGGCAAGACUCGGAUAGAUGUCCGCUUCGGGGAAAAAAUCAUUUCCGCCAAGAGCCAGUCUAGUUUGAGGUGAUGGACCUUAAGAGCCCCUACCAUGCACUGCUUGGCCGGCCUGCUCUGGCCAAGUUCAUGGCGGUCCCCCACUAUGCCUACCUCAAGAUGAAGAUGCCGAGCUCCAAGGGAAUCCUGACUAUAGCAGGAGACCACAAGAAGUCGUCCGCCUGUGCAGCAAAGAGCAGCCGGUUAGCCGAGUCCCUUGUGAUCGCGGCUGAGAAGCGGCUCCUUGACCGGGUUGUGGCAAUGGCAGGCAAGCAGCCGGAAAUGUCACCCGACCCCAAGGAGUCGGAAGCUGAGGGCUCGUUCAAGCCGGCCAAAGAGACAAAGAAGAUACCCUUGGACCCGGAGCACCCGGAGAGGUACGCUGUCAUAGGUGUGAACCUUGACAGCAAAUAGGAAGGCGAGCUCAUCGAUUUCCUCCGUGAGAAUUGGGACAUCUUUGCAUGGUUCCCCAAGGACAUGCCGGGUGUUCCGACGGAAUUCGCCGAGCACAAGCUACACGUCCAGUCAGAUGCCAAGCUAGUCAGGCAGCCCUUGUGCCGCCUGUCGGAGGAGAAGAGAAGAGUUGUUGGAGAAGAGAUAGCUCGGCUUCUAGCAGACGGCUUCAUCAUGGAGGUAUUAUUUCCAGAGUGGUUAGCCAACCCGGUCCUAGUGCUGAAGAAGAACAAGCAGUGGCGCAUGUGUAUUGAUUAUACCAGCCUCAACAAAGCAUGCCCCAAAGACCACUUUGCCUUACCAUGGAUUGACCAAGUGAUAGACUCCACAGCCAGAUGCGAGCUGUUGAGCUUUUUGGAUGCAUACCCAGGGUAUCAUCAGAUCAAGCUAAACCCGGCCGAUAGGCUGAAGACCGCCUUCAUCAUGCCGUUCGGAGCCUUCUGCUACCUGACCAUGACGUUCGGCUUGAGAAACGUCGGCACCACUUUUCAACGAUGCAUGCAGAAGUGUCUCCUCAAGCAACUCGGCAGAAACGCCCAUGUCUAUGUGGACGAUGUGGUGGUGAAAAUGGAGAAGCGUGGGACGCUUCUAGAUGAUCUCAAGGAGACCUUUGAGAAUUUGCGCCGAUUUCGGAUCAAGCUCAACCCGGAGAAAUGCGUCUUUGGAGUACCAUCCGGCCAGCUUCUUGGCUUCUUGGUCUCAGCGCGCGGCAUAGAGUGCAACCUUGUGAAGAUCAAGGCCAUCGAGAGGAUGGAGGUGCCCACCCGACUGCUAGACGUGCAAAAAUUCACCGGCUGCUUGGCAUCCAUCAGUCGUUUCAUCAGUUGGUUGGGCGAGAAGGCUCUUCCCCUGUACCAGCUCAUGAAGAAGACCACUUUUUUCGAGUGGAACGACAAGGCGGAUGAGGAUUUUCUCCAGCUCAAGAAAAUGUUGACCACUCUGCCUGUCCUGGCGGCCCCGACUCCCAAGGAGCCCAUGCUCCUCUACAUCGUCGCUACCAGCCGGGUGGUCAGCACAGUCAUAGUGGUGGAACGCAAGGAAGAAGGCAAAGCCCUACCAGUCCAAAGGACGAUGUAUUACCUGAGCGAACUACCAUCCGCUUCCAAGCAGAACUAUCCCCACUACCAGAAGAUGUGCUAUGGCGCACACUUUGCCGCCAAGAAACUGAAGCCAUACUUCCAAGAGCACCCAAUCACUGUGGUAUGCACAGCUCCGCUUGCCGAGAUCAUUGGAAGCCAAGAUGCUUCAGGCCGAGUGGCCAAAUGGGCCAUAGAUUUGGCCCCCUACACCAUCUACUACCAGCCUCGCACCGCCAUCAAGUCACAAGCACUGGCCGACUUCGUCGUUGAUUGGGCCGAGACCCAGUACCUGCCGCCUGCGCCAGACUCCACCCAUUGGCGAAUGCACUUUGAUGGUUCCAAGAUGCGCACCGGUUUGGGAGGCGGCAUCGUCCUCACGUCUCCCAAAGGCGACAAGCUCAGAUAUGUGCUGCAGAUCCAUUUUGCCGCCUCCAACAACGUCACUGAAUACGAAGCACUCAUUCACGGGCUCCGGCUUGCCAAGGAACUCGGCAUUCGCCGGAUCCUGUGCUAUGGUGAUUCCGACUUGGUGGUCCAGCAAUCGUCAGGCGACUGGGACGCCAAGGAUGCAAAUAUGGCGAGUUACCGUUUCCUCGUGCAGCAACUCUGUGGAUACUUUGAAGGGUGCGAGUUUCUCCAUGUGCCAAGGAAUGACAAUGAGCAAGCAGAUGCCCUUGCACGAAUCGGCUCCACCCGGCAAGCAAUACCAACCGGCGUCGCCCUACAACGCCUCCUGAAGCAGUCGGAUCCGACUUGAGGAGCCCAGCAGCCGGCACGAGGAAUUCGGCAGGCGACCCGGGGACUGCAGCAGUCGCACCCGGUCCGGGGACUUCAGAGCCCGACCCGGGGACUGCAGCAGUCGGCCCGGGGACUUCGACGACUCAGAAAGCGACAGCUGACUCCAACCCGCCGCCUCCCGGCCCAACCGCCCUCGUGCGAGUAGCAGUCUUAGCAAUUGAAGAAAUCGCAGCGCCUUGAUAGGCCAAGCCCAUGUUGGGGAACGUAGUAAUUUCAAAAAAAUUCCUACGCACACGCAAGAUCAUGGUGAUGCAUAGCAACGAGAGGGGAGAGUGUUGUCCAUAUACCCUCAUAGACCGAAAGCGGAAGCGUUAGCACAACGCAGUUGAUGUAGUCGUACGUCUUCACGAUCCGACCAAUCAAGUACCGAAGGCACGACACCUCCGAGUUCAGCACACAUUCAGCCCGAUGACGUCCCUCGAACUCCAAUCCAGCCGAGUGUUGAGGGAGAGUUUCGUCAGCACGACGGCGUGGUGAUGAUGAUGAUGUUCUACCGACGCAGGGCUUCGCCUAAGCACCGCUACAGUAUUAUCGAGGUUGACUAAGGUGGAGGGGGGCACCGCACACGGCUAAAAGAUCAAACAAUCAAUUGUUGUGUCUCCAGGGUGCCCCCUGCCCCCGUAUAUAAAGGAGCAAGGGGGAGAGGUGCGGCCGGCCAGGAGGGGCGCGCCAGGAGGAGUCCUACUCCCACCAGGAGUAGGACUCCCUCCCUUUUCCUUGUUGGACUAGGAGUGGAGGGGGAAAGAGGAGGGAGAGAGAGGAAGGAAAGGGGGCACCGCCCCCCUCUCCUUGUCCUAUUCGGACAAGGGGUGAGGGGCACGCGGCCCUGCCCUGGCCGCCUCUCCUCUCUUCCACUAAGGCCCACUAUGGCCCAUUAAGCCCCCGGGGGGUUCCGGUAACCUCCCGGUACUCCGGUAAAAUCCCGAUUUCACCCGGAACACUUCCGAUAUCCAAACAUAGGCUUCCAAUAUAUCAAUCUUCAUGUCUCGACCAUUUCGAGACUCCUCGUCAUGUCCGUGAUCACAUCCGGGACUCCAAACAACCUUCGGUACAUCAAAACAUAUAAAAUCAUAAUAUAACUAUCAUCGAAACUUUAAGCAUGAGGACCCUACGGGUUCAAGAACUAUGUAGACAUGACCGAGACACGUCUCCGGUCAAUAACCAAUAGCGGAACCUGGAUGCUCAUAUUGGCUCCCACAUAUUCUAUGAACAUAUUUAUCAGUCAGACCGCAUAACAACAUACGUUGUUCCCUUUGUCAUCGGUAUGUUACUUGCCCGAGAUUCGUUCGUCGGUAUCUCAAUACCUAGUUCAAUCUCGUUACCGGCAAGUCUCUUUACUCGUUCCGUAAUACAUCAUCCCGCAACAAACUCAUUAGUUGCAAUGCUUGCAAGGCUUAAGUGAUGUGCAUUACCGAGAGGGCCCAGAGAUACCUCUCCGACAAUCGGAGUGACAAAUCCUAAUCUCGAAAUACGCCAACCCAACAAGUACCUUCGGAGACACCUGUAGAGCACCUUUAUAAUCACCCAGUUACGUUGUGACGUUUGGUAGCACACAAAGUGUUCCUCCGGUAAACGGGAGUUGCAUAAUCUCAUAGUCAUAGGAACAUGUAUAAGUCAUGAAGAAAGCAAUAGCAACAUACUAAACGAUCGAGUGCUAAGCUAACGGAAUGGGUCAAGUCAAUCACAUCAUUCUCCUAAUGAUGUGAUCCCAUUAAUCAAAUGACAACCCAUGUCAAUGGCUAGGAAACUUAACCAUCUUUGAUCAACGAGCUAGUCAAGUAGAGGCAUACUAGUGAUACUCUGUUUGUCUAUGUAUUAACACAUGUAUUAUGUUUCCGGUUAAUACAAUUCUAGCAUGAAUAAUAAACAUUUAUCAUGAUAUAAGGAAAUAAAUAAUAACUUUAUUAUUGCCUCUAGGGCAUAUUUCCUUCAGUCUCCCACUUGCACUAGAGUCAAUAAUCUAGAUUACACAGUAAUGAUUCUAACACCCAUGGAGCCUUGGUGCUGAUCAUGUUUUGCUCGUGGAAGAGGCUUAGUUAACAGGUCUGCAACAUUCAGAUCCAUAUGUAUCUUGCAAAUUUCUAUGUCUGCCACCUGGACUAAAUCCCGGAUGGAAUUGAAGCGUCUCUUGAUGUGCUUGGUUCUCUUGUGAAAUCUGGAUUCCUUCGCCAAGGCAAUUGCACCAGUAUUGUCACAAAAAAAAUUCAUUGGACCCGAUGCACUAGGUAUGACACCUAGAUCGGAUAUGAACUCCAUCAUCCAGACUCCUUCAUUUGUUGCUUCCGAAGCAGCUAUGUAUUCCGCUUCAACGUAGAUCCCGCCACGACGCUUUGUUUAGAACUACACCAACUGACAGCUCCACCGUUCAAGGUAAACACGUAUCGGGUUUGCGAUUUAGAAUCGUCUGCAUCAGUGUCAAAGCUUGCAUCAACGUAACCAUUUACGAUGAGCUCUCUGUCACCUCCAUAAACGAGAAACAUAUCCUUAGUCCUUUUCAGGUAUUUCAGGAUGUUCUUGACCGCUGUCCAGUGAUCCACUCCUGGAUUACUUUGGUACCUCCCUGCUAGACUUAUAGCAAGGCACACAUCAGGUCUGGUACACGGCAUUGCAAACAUGAUAGAGCCUAUGGCUGAAGCAUAGGGAACAUCUUUCAUCUUCUCUCUAUCUUCUGCAGUGGUCGGGCAUUGAGUCUUACUCAACUUCACACCUUGUAACACAGGCAAGAACCCUUUCUUUGACUGUUCCAUUUUGAACUACUUCAAAAUCUAGUCAAGGUAUGUACUCAUUGAAAAAACUUAUCAAAUGUCUUAGUCUAUCUCUAUAGAUCUUGAUGCUCAAUAUGUAAGCAGCUUCACCGAGGUCUUCCUUUGAAAAACUCCUUUUAAAUACUCCUUUAUGCUUUGCAAAAUAAUUCUACAUUAUUUCCGAUCAACAAUAUGUCAUUCACAUAUACUUAUCAGAAAUAUUGUAGUGCUCCCACUCACUUUCUUGUAAAUACAAGCUUCACCGCAAGUCUGUAUAAAACUAUAUGCUUUGAUCAAUUUAUCAAAGCGUAUAUUCCAACUCCGAGAUGCUUGCACCAGUCCAUAGAUGGAUCGCUGGAGCUUGCACAUUUUAUUAACACCUUUAGGAUCGAAAAAACCUUCUGGUUGCAUCAUAUACAACUCUUCUUUAAGAAAUCCAUUAAGGAACGUAGUUUUGACAUCCAUUUGCCAUAUUUCAUAAAAUGUGGCAAUUUGCUAACAUGAUUCGGACAGACUUAAGCAUUGCUACGAGUGAGGAAAUCUCAUCGUAGUCAACACCUUGAACUUUGUCAAAAACCUUUUUCAACAAGUCUAGCUUUGUAGAUAGUAACACUACUAUCAGCGUCCGUCUUCCUCUUGAAGAUCCAUUUAUUUUCUAUGGCCUGCCGAUCAUCGGUCAAGUCAACCAAAGUCCACACUUUGUUCUCAUGCAUGGAUCUCAUCUCAGAUUUCAUGGCCACAAGCCAUUUCAUGGAAUCUGGGCUAAUCGUCGCUUCCUCAUAGUUCGUAGGUUCGUCAUGGUCAAGUAACAUGACCUCCAGAAUAGGAUUACCGUACCACUCUAGUGCGGACCUACUCUGGUUGACCUACGAGGUUCGGUAGUAACUUGAUCUGAAGUUACAUGAUCAUCAUCAUUAGCUUCCUCACUAAUUGGUGUAGUAGUCACAGGAACAGAUUUCUGUGAUGAACUACUUUCCAAUAAGGGAGCAGGUACAGUUACCUCAUCAAGUUCUACUUUCCUCCCACUCACUUCUUUCGAGAGAAACUCCUUCUCUAGAAAGGAUCCAUUCUUGGCAACGAAUGUCUUACCUUCGGAUAUGUGAUAGAAGGUGUACCCAACUGUCUCCUUUGGGUAUCCUAUGAAGAUACAUUUCUCCGAUUUGGGUCUGAGCUUAUCAGGAUGAAACUUUUUCACAUAAGUAUCGCCCCAAACUUUUAAGACACGACAACUUUGGUUUCUUGCAAAACCACAAUUCAUACGGUGUCGUCUCAACGGAUUUAUAUGGUGCCCUUUUUAACGUGAAUGUAGCUGUCUCUAAUGCAUAACCCCAAAACGAUAGCGGUAAAUCAGUAAGAGACAUCAUAGAUCGCACCAUAUCUAGUAAAGUACGAUUACGACGUUCGGACACACCAUUACGCUGUGGUGUUCCGGGUGGCGUGAGUUGCAAAACUAUUCUGCAUUGUUUCAAAUGAAGACCAAACUCAUAACUCAAAUAUUCUCCUCCACGAUCAGAUCGUAGAAACUUUAUUUUCUUGUUACGAUGAUUUUCAUCUUCACUCUGAAAUUCUUUGAAAUUUUGAAAUGUUUCAGACUUAUGUUUCAUUAAGUAGAUAUACCCAUAUCUGCUUAAAUCAUCUGUGAAGGUGAGAAAAUAACGAUAUCCGCCACGAGCCUCAACAUUCAUUGGACCACAUACAUCUGUAUGUAUGAUUUCCAUCAAAUCUGUUGCUCUCUCCAUAGUUCCGGAGAACGGCAUUUUAGUCAUCUUGCCCAUGAGGCAUGGUUCGCAAGCAUCAAGUGAUUCCAAAAGCCCAUCAGCAUGGAUUUUCUUCAUGCGCUUUACACCAAUAUGACCUAAACGGCAGUGCCACAAAUAAGUUGCACUAUCAUUAUUAACUUUGCAUCUUUUGGCUUCAAGAUUAUGAAUAUGUGUAUCACUACGAUCGAGAUCCAACAAACCAUUUUCAUUGGGUGUAUGACCAUAGAAGGUUUUAUUCAUGUAAACAGAACAACAAUUAUUCUUUGACUUUAAAUGAAUAACCGUAUUGCAAUAAACAUGAUCAAAUCAUAUUCAUGCUUAACGCAAACACCAAAUAACAUUUAUUUAGGUUCAACACUAAUCCCGAAAGUAUAGGCAGUGUGCGAUGAUGAUCAUAUCAAUCUUGGAACUACUUCCAACACACAUCGUCAAUUCACCCUUAACUAGUCUCUGUUCAUUCUGCAACUCCCGAUUCGAGUUACUAAUCUUAGCAACUAAAUUAGUAUCAAAUACUGAGGGGUUGCUAUGAACACUAGUAAAGUACACAUCAAUAACAUGUAUAUCAAAAUAUACCUUUGUUUACUUUGCCAUCCUUUCUUAUCCGCCAAAUACUUGGGGUAGUUCCGUUUCUAGUGACCAAUCCCUUUGCAGUAGAAGCACUUAGUCUCAGGCUUAGGUCCAGAUUUGGGCUUCUUCACUUGAGCAGCAACUUGCUUGCCGUUCUUCUUGAAGUUCCCGUUCUUCCCUUUGCCCUUUUCUUGAAACUAGUGGUCUUGUCAACCAUCAACACUUGAUGCUUUUCUUGAUUUCUACCUUCGUCGAUUUCAUCAUCAUGAAAAAACUCGGGAAUCGUUUUCGUCAUCCCUUGCAUACUAUAGUUCAUCACGAAGUUCUACUAACUUGGUGAUGGUGACUAGAUAAUUCUGUCAAUCACUGUUUUAUCUGGAAGAUUAACUCCCACUUGAUUCAAGCGAUUGUAGUACUCAGACAAUCUGAGCACAUGCUCACUGCUUGAGCUAUUCUCCUCCAUCUUUUUAGCUAUAGAACUUGUUGGAGACUUCAUAUCUCUCAACUCGGGUAUUUGCUUGAAAUAUUAACUUCAACUCCUGGAACAUCUCAUAUGGUCCAUGACGUUCUAAACGUCUUUGAAGUCCCGAUUCUAUACCGUUAAGCAUGGUGCACUAUACUAUAAAGUAGUCAUCAUAUUGAGCUAGCCAAACGUUCAUAACGUCUGCAUCUGCUCCUGCAAUAGGUCUGUCACCUAGCGGUGCAUCAAGGACAUAAUUCUUCUGUGCAGCAAUGAGGAUAAACCUCAGUCCACGGAUCCAAUCCGCAUCAUUGCUACUAACAUCUUUCAACUUUGCUUUCUCAAGGAACGCAUUAAAAUUCAACGGAACAACAGCACGGGCCAUCUAUCUACAAUCAACAUAGACAAGCAAGAUACUAUCAGGUACUAAGUUCAUGAUAAAUUUAAGUUCAAUUAAUCAUAUUACCUAAGAACUCCCACUUAGAUAGACAUCCCUCUAAUCCUCUAAGUGAUCACGUGAUCCAUAUCAACUAAACCAUGUCUGAUCAUCACGUGAGAUGGAGUAGUUUCAACGGUGAACAUCACUAUGUUGAUCAUAUCUACUAUAUGAUUCACGCUCGACCUUUUGGUCUCCGUGUUCUAAGGCCAUAUCUGUUAUAUGCUAGGCUCGUCAAGCUUAACCUGAGUAUUCCGCGUGUGCAACUGUUUUGCACCCGUUGUAUUUGAACGUAGAGCCUAUCACACCCGAUCAUCACGUGGUGUCUCAGCACGAAGAACUUUAGCAACGGUGCAUACUCAGGGAGAACACUUAUACUUUGAUAAUUUAGUGAGGGAUCAUCUUAUAAUGCUACCGUCAAUCAAAGCAAGAUAAGAUGCAUAAAAGAUAAACCUCACAUGCAAUCAAUAUAAGUGAUAUGAUAUGGCCAUCAUCAUCUUGUGCUUGUGAUCUCCAUCUCCGAAGCACCGUCAUGAUCACCACCGUCACCGGCGCGACACCUUGAUCUCCAUCGUAGCAUCGUAGUUAUCUCGCCAAUCUUAUGCUUCUACGACUAUCGCUACCGCUUAGUGAUUAAGUAAAGCAUUACAGGGCGGUUGCAUUGCAUACAAUAAAGCGACAACCAUAUGGCUCCUGCCAGUUGCCGAUAACUCGGUUACAAAACAUGAUCAUCUCAUACAAUAAAAUUUAGCAUCAUGUCUUGACCAUAUCACAUCACAACAUGCCCUGCAAAAACAAGUUAGACGUCCUCUACUUUGUUGUUGCAAGUUUUACGUGGCUGCUACGGGCUUAGCAAGAACCGUUCUCACCUACGCAUCAAAACCACAACGAUAGUUUGUCAAGUUGGUGCUGUUUUAACCUUCGCAAGGACCGGGCGUAGCCACACUCAGUUCAACUAAAGUUGGAGAAACUGACACCCGCCAGCCACCUCUGUGCAAAGCACGUCGGAAGAACCAGUCUAGCGUAAGCAUACGCGUAAUUUCGGUCCGGGCCGCUUCAUCCAACAAUACCGCCGAACCAAAGUAUGACAUGCUGGUAUGCAGUAUGACUUAUAUCGCCCACAACUCACUUGUGUUCUACUCGUGCAUAUAACAUCUACGCAUAAAACCUGGCUCGGAUGCCACUGUUGGGGAACGUAGUAAUUUCAAAAAAAUUCCUACGCACACGCAAGAUCAUGGUGAUGCAUACCAACGAGAGGGGAGAGUGUUGUCCACGUACCCUCAUAGACCGAAAGCGGAAGCGUUAGCACAACGCGGUUGAUGUAGUCGUACGUCUUCACGAUCCGACCGAUCAAGUACCAAACGCACGGCACCUCCGAGUUCAGCACACGUUCAGCCCGAUGACGUCCCUCGAACUCCGAUCCAGCCGAGUGUUGAGGGAGAGUUUCGUCAGCACGACGGCGUGGUGACGAUGAUGAUGUUCUACCGAUGCAGGGCUUCGCCUAAGCACUGCUACAGUAUUAUCGAGGUGGACUAUGGUGGAGGGGGGCACCGCACACGGCUAAAAUAUCAAACGAUCAAUUAUUGUGUCUCCAGGGUGCCCCCCUGCCCCCGUAUAUAAAGGAGCAAGGGGGAGAGGUGCGGCCGGCCAGGAGGGGCGCGCCAGGAGGAGUCCUACUCCCACCGGGAGUAAUACUCCCUCCCUUUUCCUUGUUGGACUAUGAGUGGAGGGGGAAAGAGGAGGGAGAGAGGAAGGAAAGGGGGGCGCCGCCCCCCCUCUCCUUGUCCUAUUCGGACUAGGGGGGAGGGGCGCGCAGCCCUGCCCUGGCCGCCUCUCCUCUCUUCCACUAAGGCCCACUAUGGCCCAUUAAGCCCCCGGGGGGUUCCGGUAACCUCCCGGUACUCCGGUAAAAUCCCGAUUUCACCCGGAACACUUCCGAUAUCCAAACAUAGGCUUCCAAUAUAUCAAUCUUCAUGUCUCGACCAUUUCGAGACUCCUCGUCAUGUCCGUGAUCACAUCCGGGACUCCGAACAACCUUCGGUACAUCAAAACAUAUAAACUCAUAAUAUAACUGUCAUUGAAACUUUAAGCGUGCGGACCCUACGGGUUCGAGAACUAUGUAGACAUGACCGAGACACGUCUCCGGUCAAUAACCAAUAGCGGAACCUGGAUGCUCAUAUUGGCUCCCACAUAUUCUACGAAGAUCUUUAUCGGUCAGACCGCAUAACAACAUACGUUGUUCCCUUUUAUCAUCGGCAUGUUACUUGCCCGAGAUUCGAUCGUCGGUAUCUCAAUACCUAGUUCAAUCUCGUUACCGGCAAGUCUCUUUACUCGUUCCGUAAUACAUCAUCCCGCAACAAACUCAUAUGUUGCAAUGCUUGCAAGGCUUAAGUGAUGUGCAUUACCGAGAGGGCCUAGAGAUACCUCUCCGACAAUCGGAGUGACAAAUCCUAAUCUCGAAAUACGCCAACCCAACAAGUACCUUCGGAGACACCUGUAGAGCACCUUUAUAAUCACCCAGUUACGUUGUGACGUUUGGUAGCACACAAAGUGUUCCUCCGGUAAACGGGAGUUGCAUAAUCUCAUAGUCAUAGGAACAUGUAUAAGUCAUGAAGAAAGCAAUAGCAACAUACUAAACGAUCGAGUGCUAAGCUAACGGAAUGGGUCAAGUCAAUUACAUCAUUCUCCUAAUGAUGUGAUCCCAUUAGUCAAAUGACAACCCAUGUCAAUGGCUAGGAAACUUAACCAUCUUUGAUCAACGAGCUAGUCAAGUAGAGGCAUACUAGUGACACUCUGUUUGUCUAUGUAUUCACACAUGUCUUAUGUUUCCGGUUAAUACAAUUCUAGCAUGAAUAAUAAACAUUUGUCAUGAUAUAAGGAAAUAAAUAAUAACUUUAUUAUUGCCUCUAGGGCAUAUUUCCUUCAGCCCAUCCUCAACUUCUUGGUGAACAAAGAGCUCCCGACUGAUGAGAUCUCGGCCCGGCAAGUGCAACGCCGGGCAGCAGCAUACACCAUAGUCAACAGAGAGCUUGUAAGGCGUAGUGUCAUUGGUGUCUACCAGCGCUGCGUGGAGCCGGAGCAAGGUCAAGCAAUCCUCAAAGAUAUCUAUCAAGGCGAGUGUGGUCACCACACGGCUUCAAGAGCACUUGUUGCCAAAGCUUUUCGCCAUGGUUUUUUCUGGCCGACUGCUCUAGAAGACGCCAAAGACUUGGUCCAGAAAUGCAAAGGGUGCCAGAAGUUCCGCUCCAAGCCUCAUCAGCCGGCUUCUGCACUCAAGACUAUCCCCAUUGCCUGGCCCUUUGCUGUCUGGGGCCUGGACAUGGUGGGACCAUUCAAAACAGCACGAGGUGGCAUGAGUCAUCUGCUUGUCGCGGUGGACAAGUUCACCAAGUGGAUAGAAGCAAAACCAGUCAAGAAAUUGAAUGGUCCGACUACUAUGACUUUCAUCUCCGACAUCACCAUCUGGUAUGGCAUACCACACAGCAUCAUCACCGACAAUGGCACGAACUUCGCCAAAGGCGCCUUGGCCCGUUUUUGCACGACGCAGGGCAUCCGACUGGACUUAGCGUCUGUAGCCCAUCCGCAGUCAAACGGCCAAGUGGAGCGAGCAAACGGCCUUAUUUUGUCCGGCAUCAAGCCCCGAUGGUUGAGCCUCUGGAGCGUUCGGCCGGCUGCUAGCUCGAUGAGCUGCCGGCCGUCCUCUGGAGCCUGCGCACAACCCCGAACAAGUCAACCGGCUUCACUCCUUUCUUCCUCGUCUACGGUGCCGAAGCCGUCAUCCCGACGGACAUAGAAUUCGACUCCCCUCGAGUCACCAUGUACACCGAAGAGGAGGCAGAAGAAGCACGACAAGAUGGCGUCGAUCUGCUGGAAGAGGGCCGGCUGUUGGCACUCAGCCGGUCCACCAUCUACCAGCAGAGUCUGCGCCGAUACUACAACCGAAAGAUCAAGCCAAGAUCCUUCCAAGAAGGAGAUCUUGUACUCCGGCUGAUCCAGCGAACAGCCGGCCAGCAUAAGCUCUCGGCACCUUGGGAAGGCCCCUUCAUCAUCAGCAAGGUGUUGGGCAAUGACUCCUACUACCUCAUCGGCGCUCAGAAGCCUCGAGCACUCAAAAGAGAUGACUCCGGCAAGGAGACGGAGCGACCAUGGAAUGCGAAUCUCCUUCGAAGGUUUUACAAUUAAAGCAACCGUCUGGCACCGGGUUCGACCAGUCGACCCGGGGACUUGCCGCUUUGUACUAUGAAAUGCUUCCUGCAGCCGGACAAGUAAUGUGUUGGCACCUUAGCUUUCUCCUGCCAGAGGCCGCAGCUCACAGAGCGACUGUUCGGUCAGCAGGAGCUAAGGCUAAAAGGGUGUCUGCAUGAAAAAUGGCUAAGGACCUAAAGCAUACACAUAGUCCAAGCCGGUGAUACGUCUCCGUCGUAUCUACUUUUCCAAACACUUUUGCCCUUGUUUUGGACUCUAACUUGCAUGAUUUGAAUGGAACUAACCCGGACUGGCGUUGUUUUCAGCAGACUUUCCAUGGUGUUAUUUAUGUGCAGAAACAAAAGUUCUCGGAAUGACCUGAAACUCCACGGAACAUCUAUUUGGAAAAUAAGAAAAAUACCGGAAGAAAAAUCCACGUCAGGGGGCCCACACCCUGUCCACAAGGGUGGAGGGCGCACCUGCCCCCCUAGGGCGCGCCCCCUACCUCGUGGCCCUCCUGACGCUCCACCGACCUCAACUCCAACUCCAUAUAUUCACUUUCGGGGAGAAAAAAAUCAGAGAGAAGGAUUGAUCGCGUUUUAUGAUACGGAGCCGCCGCCAAGCCCUAAAACCUCUCGGGAGGGCUGAUCUGGAGUCUGUUCGGGGCUCCGGAGAGUGGAAUCCGUCGCCAUCGUCAUCAUCAACCAUCCUCCAUCACCAAUUUCAUGAUGCUCACCGCCGUGCGUGAGUAAUUCCAUCAUAGGCUUGCUGGACAGUGAUGGGUUGGAUGAGAUCUAUCAUGUAAUCGAGUUAGUUUUGUUAGGGUUUGAUCCCUAGUAUCCACUAUGUUCUGAGAUUGAUGUUGCUAUGACUUUGCUAUGCUUAAUGCUUGUCACUAGGGCCCGAGUGCCAUGAUUUCAGAUUUGAACCUAUUAUGUUUUCAUGAAUAUAUGUGAGUUCUUGAUCCUAUCUUGCAAGUCUAUAGUCACCUACUAUGUGUUAUGAUCCGGCAACCCCGAAGUGACAAUAAUCGGGACCACUCCCGGUGAUGACCAUAGUUUGAGGAGUUCAUGUAUUCCCUAUGUGUUAAUGCUUUGGUCUGGUACUCUAUUAAAAGGAGGCCUUAAUAUCCCUUAGUUUCCAUUAGGACCCCGCUGCCACGGGAGGGUAGGACAAAAGAUGUCAUGCAAGUUCUUUUCCAUAAGCGCGUAUGACUAUAUUCGGAAUACAUGCCUACAUUACAUUGAUGAAUUGGAGCUAGUUCUGUGUCACCCUAUGUUAUGAUUGUUACAUGAUGAACCGCAUCCGGCAUAAUUUUCCAUCACGGAUCCAAUGCCUACGAGCUUUUCAUAUAUUGUUCUUCGCUUAUUUACUUUUCCGUUGCUACUGUUACAAUCACUACAAAACACUAAAAUUAUUACUUUUGCUACUGUUACCUUUGUUACCGUUACCACUACUAUCAUACUACUUUGCUACUAAAUACUUUGUUGCAGAUACUAAGUCAUCCAGGUGUGUUUGAAUUGACAACUCAACUGCUAAUACUUGAGAAUAUUCUUUGGCUCCCCUUGUGUCGAAUCAAUAAAUUUGGGUUAAAUACUCUACCCUCGAAAACUGUUGCGAUCCCAUAUACUUGUGGGUUAUCAAGACUAUUUUCUGGCGCCGUUGCCGGGGAGCACAGCUCUAUUCUUUGAGUCACUUGGGAUUUAUAUCUGCUGGUCACUAUGAAGAACUUGAAAGACGCUAAGACAACAAUUUAUCCCUCAACUACGAGGGGAGGUAAGGAACUGCCAUCUAGCUCUGCAUUUGAUUCACCUUCUGUUUUGAGUAAGCUUGCGACACCUAAACCUGCUUCUGCUAUUCGUUCUGAUAUGUCGCAUGUUAUUGAUGAUGCCACUUCUGCUAUGCAUGAUACUUAUGAUGAAACUACUUCUAUGCUUGAUACUACUGUGCCACUUGGUGAAUUUCUUGAUUAACAACUUGCUAGGGUUAGAGAGAAUGAAAUUAUUGAAACUGAUAACAUUGAUGAAAGUGAUGAUGAAGACUCUCCCCCUAAUAAAUAUGAAUCACCUGUUAUUCCUGAGGGUUAUGUUUUUGAAAAAUAAGCUGCUUUAGCUAUUUUAGCUUGCAAAGAUAGAUACGAGCUCAAGAGGUUAUUAGCUAAAUGGAAGCAGCAAUCUCUUAAUGCUAGAAUGAAACCUGACCCUGCUUUUGCUACUUCACCUAUCUGUGUUACUGAUAAGGAUUAUGAAUUCUCUGUUGAUCCUGAUAUAAUUACUUUGGUUGAAUCUGAUCCUUUUCAUUGCUAUGAAUCUGAAACUGGUGUGGCACAUCUUACUAAAUUAAAUGAUAUAGCCACCCUGUUCACUAAUGAUGAUAAAUCUUGCUAUCUUUAUAUUCUUAAAAUAUUUCCGUUCAUUGGGUGAUGCUAAGAUAUGGUUUAAUUCCCUUGAUCCUGGUUGUGUGCGUAGUCCCCAGGAUAUGAUUUACUACUUCUCUGCUAAAUAUUUCCCUGCUCAUAAGAAACAAGCUGCUUUAAGGGACAUAUAUAAUUUUGUUCAAAUUGAAGAAGAGAGUCGCCCACAAGCUUGGGGGAGGCUUCUCCAAUUAAUUAAUGCUUUGCCUAAUCAUCCUCUUAAGAAAAAUGAAAUACUUGAUAUCUUUUAUAAUGGACUAACCGAUGCUUCCAGAGAUUACCUGGAUAGUUGUGCUGGUUCUGUUUUUCAGGGAAAGAACGCCGGAUGAAGCUGAAAUUCUAUUGAAUAAUAUGUUGACAAAUGAAAAUAAUUGGACACUUCUUGAGCCAAUUCCUGAGCCUAUUCCUAAACCAACUCCGAAGAAGAGAGGUGUUCUAUUUCUCAGUCCUAAAGAUAUGCAAGAGGCAAAGAAAUCUAUGAAAGAAAAGGGUAUUAAGGCUGAAGAUGUUAAGGAUUUACCUCCUAUUGAAGAAAUACAUGGUCUUGAUUUACCGCCUGUUGAAGAAACAUAUGAUCUUAAACCACCACCUAUUGAAGAAACUCAUGGUCUUGAUAACCCAACAUAGGUAGUAAAGGUAAAUUCUCUCUAUAGAUUUGAUGAAGGUGAUAUUCCUCACUAUAAGUCUGCUAGACAAUGCUUAGAAGAGUUUGAUAAUUUUAUUGUCAAACAAGAAAACUUCAAUGCUUAUUUUGGUAGACAAUGGAAAUACAAUUCCGAUACGCUUGAGCACUUGAGUAAUUACAUGGCUAAUGUUAAAGGUGAACUUAAACUCAUUAGUAAACAUGCUUCUAUGGUUACCACUCAAGUAGAACAAGUACUUAAAGCUCAAAAUGAUUUGCUCAUUGAAUUGAAUAGUAAGAAAAAUGAUUAUGCUGUUAGAGUGGCUACUAGAACUGGUAAGAUGACUCAGGAACCUUUGUAUCCUGAAGGCCACCCCAAGAGAAUUGAGCAAGAUUCUCAGAGAAAUAAUAUUGCUGCACCUAGUCCUUCUAAAAAGAAGAAAAAGAAAGAUGAUAGGACUUUGCAUGCUUCUAGUGAACCAAUUGCUGAAACACCUGAGAAUCCAAAUGAUAUAUCUAUUUCUGAUGCUGAAACACAAUCUGGUAAUGAACAUGAACCUAAUGAAAAUGCUAAUGAUGAUGUUCAUGAUGAUGCUCAACCUAGUAAUGAUAAUGAUGUAGAAAUUGAACCUGCUGUUGAUCUUGAUAACCCACAAUCAAAGAAUCAACGUUAUGAUAAGAGAGACUUUGUUGCUAGGAAACAUGGUAAAUAAAGAGAACCUUGGGUUUAGAAACCCAUGCCUUUUCCUCCCAAACCAUCCAAGAAAAAGGAUGAUGAGGAUUUUGAGCGCUUUGCUGAAAUGAUUAGACCUAUCUUUUUGCGUAUGCGAUUAACUGAUAUGCUCAAAAUGAAUCCUUAUGCUAAGUAUAUGAAAGAAAUUGUUACUAAUAAAAGGAAGAUACCGGAAGCUGAAAUUUCCACCAUGCUUGCUAAUUACACUUUUAAGGGUGGAAUACCAAAGAAAUUUGGAGACCCAGGAGUACCCACUAUACCAUGCUCCAUUAAAAGAAACUAUGUUAAAACUGCUUUCUGUGAUCUUGGAGCCGAUGUUAGUGUUAUGCCUCUCUCUUUAUAUUGUAGACUUGAUUUGAAUAAGUUGACACCUACUGAAAUAUCUUUGCAAAUGGCUGAUAAAUCAACUGCUAUACCUGUCGGUAUUUGUGAGGAUGUGCCUGUUGUGGUUGCAAACAUUACUAUUUUAACGGACUUUGUUAUUCUUGAUAUUCCCGAGGACGAUAGUAUGUCUAUUAUUCUUGGAAGACCUUUUUUGAAUACUGCAGGGGCUGUUAUUGAUUGCAACAAAGGCAAUGUCACUUUUCACGUUAAUGGCAAUGAGCAUACGGUACACUUUCCGAGGAAACAACCUCAAGUUCAUAGUAUAAAUUCUAUUGGAAAAAUUCCAUCGAUUAUUUUUGGAGGUUUUGAAUUUCCUCUUCCUACUGUCAAGAAGAAAUAUGAUAUUCUUAUUAUUGGGGAUGUGCAUAUCCCCGUUGAGGUAACAUAGUGUUAUUCGAAAUUUCUCCGGUUCCAUGAUAUUUGGAAUGAGUUUGUUAACAAGACUUGAUCAACCUUGUUAAUGGAUUCCUUUUGAUGAGCAUGAGAUGGAUGAAACUAGAAGGCACAAUCUUCUGUACCCUCUCUCUACUUUCUGUUAUUUAGUUGAAUAAAGUAAAAAAUAGUAUUUUUCUGUCUGUUUUCUGAUUUAUCCGUGCAAUAUAAAAAUACCCUGAAAAUAAAAGUUCUCCAAAUGCCCUGAAAAUGGAAUAUGAUUUUUCUAGAAUAUUUAAGAAUAUCCGGUACUGAGAACACAACAGGAGGGGCAAGCACCUGGCCACGAGGGUGGAGGGCGCGCUCUACCCCCCAGGGCGCGCCCCCUGCCUCGUGGGCCCAUGGUGGCUCCCCUCCACUUAUUCCUGCACCCACACACUCCUUCUUCCUCCCAAAAAAAUCACCAUCCAGCUCAAGCACGAGUUCUAGCUCAUUUUGCUGCAAUUUUUGAUCUCCUUGGUCAAAGCACCUCUCACAAAAUUGCUUGGGGAGAUUGUUCCUUGGUAUGUGACUCCUCCAUUGGUCCAAUUAGUUUUUGUUCUAGUGCUUUAUUCAUUGCAAAUUUGUGCUGCCUAGGUGACCAUGUUCUUGAGCUUGCAUGUCAAAUUUAUAUGGUUCCAAGUAGUUCUAAUGCAUGAUAUAGGCUCUAGGCACUUGUAGGAGUAGUUGCUAUCAAUUUUGUUGAGCUUGGUUCACUUUUAUUUUGAAGUUACUAAAAAAUUCAGAAAUUUUUCAGAGGAAGAAAUAUGCUUAGGAAAAUGUUCCAAGGUGGUUCUUCAAGGAAGCAAGGACCCAGGCUUGCAAUGCGUGAUGCUGACGAUGAGCCACCAAGGGACGCUCCAGUGCGGCCUUGUGAAUGGCCUUCAGAAAAUUUUAUGGAUCGAGCAGGAAUCAAGGAAGAAUUUAACGCAUAUUUGCGUAACGCUGAUCUUGUGAGCUUCGAGGCAGAGAAGUGCCGCCAAUACCACUAUCUCACUAGUUCAUUUGUGAGGAGGUUUGAAUUUUCAUCUUCACAUAAUUCUCCAACUAUCCUGUUUGAUCUCUAUGAAAAAAUUUAUACUAUGGACUUAGAGGAUUUUACCACCGCUUGCAAACUUCCACAAUGGGGUAGUGCUAGUGAACCUCGCAAAUCUGAAUUUAGAAAUUUUCUUGCUAGUAUAACUGUGGGGGAAUCUAGAGAUAUAGCACAAGCUACCAUAGGGAGCAUUCAUUUUCCUGCUAUACAUUAUUUUGCUCUCUUCAUAGGUAGGUGCAUAAAUGGUAAAGAUGAAGCAUGUCACAUGUGUGUCCCUGAUCUCAGUAUUCUUAGGAGUGCUGUGUUAGGAGACAAAACAUAUAACUUGGGAGCCAUUGUUGCACGUAGGUUGCAUCAUAAUAGAUUUAAUGGAGAUUUCUUUGGAGGAAUUUAUGCAACCCGCUUAGCUGAUUUUCUUGGUGUGGACAUUCGUGAGGAUGAUAUUGAGUUGCCUCCUACUUAUUUAGACUAUAAUGCUAUGGUCCACCACCAGUUUAUCGAGAGGAAUGAAUCACCUCUCUGGUAUCGCUUAAUCUUUGACAAAUGUCAUGCUGUCCGUAUUACUCUCCCUUCUCCUGCCUUCCUUGAUUAACAGGAAAAUGGAAGAUAUGUUAUUACCAGAGAGGAGGCAGAUGAGUAAGAGAGGAGGGCGGAGGCAGCUCGCCGCCACGCUGCAGCUCAGGAGGCAAUAACUACCGCAGCUCAGUACGACCCCGUCUACAACUAUGGAUAUCCGCCAGGCCAUCCGUGGCAAUGAACCAACUUAGGCCAAAAGCCUAAGCUUGGGGGAGUACGUAUCUCUCACCGACAUUACAUUUAUGUUCACACACUCAUUACUAGAUGUCGGUGCUCAUACUUUUUCACUGUAAUAUCCAUGCUAGUUUAUUUUCUUUUUCAUGCUUUCUUCUUGUGUGUUUAAUAAACCUUAAGAAAAAAAUUAGUAAUAGCUUUUAGUUAGUUUACUUUUCUUGCUGUAGUAGUAAUAAUUAAAAAGAAAACCCAAAAAGAUUUCUUGUUCUUCUUUUGCUUGUUGGGAGCUUUCCCGUGUAAAUAGUUUUAUUUCUUUUCUUUGGGGGUCGUUAGGAGAAGACCAUAAUUAAAUUUUUGAAGUGGCUCUUAUAUGCAUUAUUGUUGAUUUAACCAAGAGCCCAUAUUGCCUUGUCUUCUCCUGUUUAUUGAAUGCUCGCAGAUUCCAGCUUAGUCCAAUGCACGUGCACUCUUAUUAUUUUUACAUCGUUCGGUCGUGCAAGUGAAAGGCAAUUAUGAGUAUAUAUGAUGGACUAACUGAGAUGAGAGAAGCUGGUAUGAACUCGACCUCUCUUGCUUUUGUAAAUAUGAUUAGUUCAUCGUUCCUGAUUCAGCCUAUUAUGAAUAAACAUGUUUGCAAUGACAAUUAGAGAUCAUAGUUGCUUAUGCCAUGCUUGAUUAGCUAUGAGUUAUAAUGGUUUACCUUGCGUGCCAACAUGUUAUUAAAAUGGUUGUGAUGUGGUAUAGUGGGGUGGUAUCCUCCUUUGAAUGAUUUAAGUGACUCGACUUGGCACAUGUUCACACAUGUAGUUGAAACAAAUCAACAUAGCCUUCACGAUAUUUAUGUUCAUGGUGGAUUAUAUCCUACUCAUGCUUGCACUCAAUGUUUAUUAAUUUUAAUGCAUGUUCAUGACUGUUGUCACUCUCUAGUUGGUCGCUUCCCAGUCUUUUGCUAGCCUUCACUUGUACUAAGCGGGAAUACUGCUUGUGCAUCCAAUCCCUUAAACCCCUAAGUUAUUCCAUAUGAGUCCACUAUACCUUCCUAUAUGCGGUAUCUACUUGCCGUUCCAAGUAAAUUUGUAUGUGCCAAACUCUAACCUUCAAAUAAACAUUCUGUUUUGUAUGCUCGAAUAGCUCAUGUAUCAACUAGGGCUGCCCUUAUCUUCCAUGCUAGGCGGGUUAUUCUCCAGAGGAGUGGACUCCGCUCCUCACUCACGAGAAAAUGGCUGGUCACCGGGAUGCCCAGUCCCAUGCUUUAUGCAAACUAAAUCAAAAUAAUUGCAAGCAAAACUCCCCCUGGGACUGUUGCUUGUUGGAGGCACUCGUUGUUUCAAGCAAGCCAUGUAUUGAUGCUUGUUGGUGGAGGGGGAGUAUAAACUUUACCAUUCUGUUUGGGAACCGCCUAUAAUGUGUGUAGCACGGAAGAUAUCGCCAUCUCUUGGUUGUUAUGUUGACAAUGAAAGUAUGCCGCUCAAAAUAUUAUUUAUCUCUAUUUCAAAACCGAGCUCUGGCACCUCUACAAAUGCCCGCUUCCCUCUGCGAAGGGCCCAUCUAUUUACUUUUAUGUUGAGUCAUCACCCUCUUAUUAAAAAGCACUAGCUGGAGAGCGCUGCUGUCAUUUGCAUCCAUUACUAUUAAUUUAUAUUGGGUAUGACUAUGACUGGAUCUCUUUUACCAUGAAUUACAAUGUCUAGUCAGUCCUUGAUCUUUAAACAUGCUCUGCAUUUAUGUUUUGCGGUCUCAGAAAGGGCUAGUGAGAUACCAUCCUAUUAUAUCAUAUUAUGAUUGUUUUGAGAAAGUUUUGUCAUCCGAGAUUUAUUAUUAUCGCUCGCUAGUUGAUUAUGCCAUUGAUAUGAGUAAACAUGAGACCUGAGAGUUAUUGCAAAUGUGGUUAGUCAUUAUAUUUGUUGAAAACUUGAAUGUUGGCUUUACAUAUUUACAACAACAAGAGCAAACAGAGUUUGUAAAAGUUUUUCUUUAUCACUUUCAGUUUAUCAACUGAAUUGCUUGAUGACAAGCAAAGGUUUAAGCUUGGGGGAGUUGAUACGUCUCCUUCGUAUCUACUUUUCCAAACACUUUUGCCCUUGUUUUGGACUCUAACUUGCAUGAUUUGAAUGGAACUAACCCGGAAUGAUGCUGUUUUCAGCAGACUUUCCAUGGUGCUAUUUAUGUGCAGAAACAAAAGUUCUCGGAAUGACCUAAAACUCCACGGAACAUCUAUUUGGAAAAUAAGAAAAAUACCGGAAGAAAAAUCCACGUCAGGGGGCCCACACCCUGUCCACGAGGGUGGAGGGCGCGCCUGCCCCCCUACCUCGUGGGCCCCCUGACGCUCCACCGACCUCAACUCCAACUCCAUAUAUUCACUUUCGGGGAGAAAAAAAUCAAAGAGAAGGAUUCAUAGCGUUUUACGAUACGGAGCCGCCGCCAAGCCCUAAAACCUCUCGGGAGGGCUGAUCUGGAGUCCGUUCGGGGCUCCGGAGAGGGGAAUCCGUCGCCAUCGCCAUCAUCAACCAUCCUCCAUCACCAAUUUCAUGACGCUCACCGCCGUGCGUGAGUAAUUCCAUCGUAGGCUUGCUGGACGGUGAUUGGUUGGAUGAGAUCUAUCAUGUAAUCGAGUUAGUUUUCUUAGGGUUUGAUCCCUAGUAUCCACUAUGUUCUGAGAUUGAUGUUGCUAUGACUUUGCUAUGCUUAAUGCUUGUCACUAGGGCCCGAGUGCCAUGAUUUCAGAUCUGAACCUAUUAUGUUUUCAUGAAAAUAUGUGAGUUCUUGAUCCUAUCUUGCAAGUCUAUAGUCACCUACUAUGUGUUAUGAUCCGGCAACCCCGAAGUGACAAUAAUCGGGACCACUCCCGGUGAUGACCAUAGUUUGAGGAGUUCAUGUAUUCACUAUGUGUUAAUGCUUUGGUCCGGUACUCUAUUAAAAGGAGGCUUAAUAUCCCUUAGUUUCCAUUAGGACCCCGCCGCCACGGGAGGGUAGGACAAAAGAUGUCAUGCAAGUUCUUUUCCAUAAGCACGUAUGACUAUAUUCGGAAUACAUGCCUACAUUACAUUGAUGAAUUGGAGCUAGUUCUGUGUCACCCUAUGUUAUGAUUGUUACAUGAUGAACCGCAUCUGGCAUAAUUUUCCAUCACUGAUCCAAUGCCUACGAGCUUUUCAUAUAUUGUUCUUCGCUUAUUUACUUUUCCGUUGCUACUGUUACAAUCACUACAAAACACUAAAAAUAUUACUUUUGCUACUGUUACCUUUGUUACCGUUACCACUACUAUCAUACUACUUUGCUACUAAAUACUUUGCUGCAGAUACUAAGUCAUCCAGGUGUGGUUGAAUUGACAACUCAACUGCUAAUACUUGAGAAUAUUCUUUGGCUCCCCUUGUGUCGAAUCAAUAAAUUUGGGUUGAAUACUCUACCCUCGAAAACUGUUGCGAUCCCCUAUACUUGUGGGUUAUCAGCCGGCUUCUCGCCUCACCGACCGGCUGCCGAGUAGCUGGUCGGCCAGCUUCUACUUAAUUUGCCAGAAAACUCUAGCCGGCUAAGUACUUUCCUUCCCGAAAGUGCCUAAGUACUUGACCCAGCCACAGUCCGAAGAGCAGCUGUUCGGCUGGCAAGACGGCAACCAAGGGAAGGCGGCAAAGGAAAAAAGCCAAAGAGCAAAAAGCAAGGAAAGAUAGAACUCGGCUAAAAAAUUUUUUACGUCAAAAGGCCCUUGGCCGACAUCCAACAAGAGUUUGAAAUACACCCCGCAGGUGGAAUAGUGUGAAGUUAACAAAGUUUGUCGAGACUGAUAGACAGGUAAAAACAAAGAUAAACUGGCGGCCUGGGGAGCAGCAGACGGCUUCGGGGGAGCGGAGGAGUCGGUGGUGCCGGUUGGUGGAGCGGCCGGCAGGUCAGUCGCCGCUUGGUCGCCUUCAGUAGCAGCCGGCUCGCUCGGGCGUGGCUCGUUGCUGGAGGCGCGGUCGAGCUGAGGCUGGUCGUCCGCUCCGACCUCUGGCGCCUCCUCUUCACCUUCCUCUUCCUCCUCGUUUUCUUCCUCGCCGCAGGAGUCGAUCACCUCGGCCGAGUCCUCGCCGUCCUCCAGGUUCAGCCCGAACCACUCUGGUGGCGCCUCGGCGCCAUUCUCGGCCCGCUCCGGGAUGAAGAUGCUGGUGUUGGUGUACUCGGCGAUUGCCGCCGCACGCUUGACAAGGUCAUCCUCUACUGCCACCAGCUCCUCCUGGGCCUCCUGCCGAAACAUGGUCAACUGGGCUAGAUUUAGCCCAGGGUACCACGCCUUGACAAACUCCAAGGCCCGGCGCGCUCCAGCUCGGGACGAGGAGCCCUUCCAGGCCUCAAGACGGCCCACCGCCACCUCCAGCCAGUCGGCAGUCCGACUGGGAGUGCGCGGUGCCGGCAUGUCCAGCCACAGGGCGGCGAUCGCCUGGGCGCCGACCAGCUGAAGACGGCGCAGCAUCCGGUGAGCCGGCCGAAGACGGGCCUCGAUGCUCAGGAGCUGCUUGCUAAGGGUCCGGGGGGCGUUGGCAGCAAUCUGCGCACCUUUCGCCCUCCGUCCUUCGCGAUCAGCUUCGAUGGCCUGAUUGGCGGCGUCAGAAUGACCAGGGAAGAAGUCUGCCAAAACAGAAAGCAAAGAGCCAAAGUUAGAGACGAGAGGCCGGCUCGAUCAGUAGCCGGCAGCUCAAAGAAGGAAAAAGAGGGAAGCUCACCAUCAACUAUGUCUUCAACCUCGCCAAAGCUGGUAGUCAGCAUCGCCUCCUUGUCAGUCCAGGCGGAGCGUUCAGUCGCAAACUCAGCAAGGAGGCUGGUCUCCUUGUCCUCCGCCUCCUUCUGGGCCUUCUUGAGAAGCUCCGCCUUUUCCGCCAGUUGCGUGACCAGCAGGUCACGCUCUUCGACCAGCUUGUUACAUUCUGCUUCUUUGGCACGCAGCACGGUGUUGGCUUCACCCAGCUGCUGCUAAAGGGUGGCGUUGGCCUCUGCGAGAGCAGAAAAAGCAAAAGGCGUCAGUAACCAGCAGAGAAGAAGCACAGUUGCCAGGGAGAUCCGGCCCGACUGCUCAGCAGUCGUCCCGAAUCUCGGGGACUACAGCCCGCGGGUGCGCCAGCGCGCCCCCGCGGAGAAAGAAGUCGUCAAUAUCAACCCAAAGAAGAUCAGUCGCCAGGAAGAUCCGGCUCGACUGCUCAGCAGUCGGCCCGAAUCUCGGGGACUACAGCCCGCGGGUGCGCCAGCGCGCCCCCGUAGAGAAAUAAAAAGACUUACUCCGACUCUCCGACAAGUCGACGGCACGUUGAUCUAGCUCCUGGACUUUGGAGUUGAAGGCGGCCGCACGGAGGUUAUGAUAAUCCUGCAGCAAAGACAUUAGCACUCGGAGCUUGCCAAUUAAAGUUUCGAGCCGCCUGCUCAGCAGCCGGCCCGAAACUCGGGGACUACACCUAGUGCGUGCGCUGGCGCGCCCCCACGAAGCAAUACAAGAAUUAAAAACGAAGAAGCAAGAAGCAUACCCUAACGGCCUCUCGCGAUUCCAGGAACGUCUUGUUGCAGUGCUUGAGAGUGUCGGCUUCGGCACGGAGUUUGGCUUGAACGUCCAGGAUCGCCUUGUUCAAAGGGCCCGUCCCGCCUCCCCGCACCCACCCAGUGGGCGUGGCGCUGGUCGCUUCGGUGUCCGGGAUUGAGGAGCUUGCGGCGCCGGUCUCCAAUGGGCGUGGCGCCGAGGCCGCCUUGGCGAGCCGGCGGCAUAAGGGUGUGCGGACCCCGGGAGUCGGGCCCGUCACCAUCUCGUUUCCGGCUGGUGGCGCCGGCGGGUUGGCCGGCUGCUUGUCUCGCGCCUCCUUAGAAGGUGGUGGCGGGGGCACGAUUACGUCCGGCAUGGCGAUGUCGCCGCUGUCCCUCUCCAUGAUAGGGUGCUCGCUGCCGGCUUCCCCAGUCUGCGCCACGAACUCCGGUGGUGGCGGCGCGGAGUUCAGGGGGGUGACAAACAUCGGCGACUGAUGGUGUGCGGCUUCCUCGGCCUGCUUCUUCGUCGCGGCGGCGGCCUCGGCCUCCGCCAGCUUCUUCAAAGUGGCGGCCUCUGCCCUGUCUGCCUCCGCCUUCUCUAGGCGGGCGGCUUCCUGCUCCUCGCGCGCGUUCUGCUCCGUCGCCUCCCGGAGGUCAGCGGCCGGAUCGAUCCGCCGAGUGGUGGUGGAAGUCUCCGCCGACCCCACGAUGGAGGCAGCGGCUGACUUCUCAAGAGAGAGCGGGGCCCUAGAUCAAGGGAAACAAAGCGAAGAAACUCAGACAAGAUCAGCAAGGAAGGAGAAAGUACGAGAUGAAGGCAGUACUUACGCGGAAACCAGCUGCGGCUCCUUCACCGCCUUGCAAAAGUGGAUGGACUUCGCGGCCGCUUCAUCCCGCUUAGUCGCUGCGGCCGAGCCCCUGGGUUUCUUUGGCCGGCUGCCGAACAGGCUCGGCGCGGCCCUGCGCUUGUGCGCACCACCUCGGGCUGCCAACAUGGCAGACGAGCUCGCGCCAUGCUGGUCGGACCCCGGCUGGCGGUGCAGGACGACUUCCCCCGCGUCGUCGUCUGGCCAGUCCUCGAGGCUGGCUCCAAGCCCUGAGCCGCCUGCUGCGCCGCCCCCUCCCUCGGCGUCGUCCUCCAAGGCCGCCGCUCCCAAGUCGGGGUCAUCCACAUCACUCUCCGCCCGGUCGGGGAGAAAUUGACGCUCCGGCCCCGCGGCGCCGGCUGCCGGCUGGAGGAGGGAGCUCUGCUUGAAGAGCCGGUUGGUCAGGUUAGACAAAUGGAACUCGGCAAAAAGAAAGAGAAAGAGAAGGAAAGGAAAUUUACCAUAGGCAGGGGGUCGGCGCGAGAAUAAGGCUCCUUGCCGAACCGCCACUCUUCCGUGAGCUUGCAGUUCACAAGGUAGUUCACCAUAUGAGCUACCUCUGCGUGAGGCAUCUCCUUGGUGCACAACCGGCUUGGGUCCCGAUGCCCGCUCAUCUGACAGAUCAUGUGAGGGCGGCCCUGGAGCGGGAGCACCCGGCGCGCCACGAAGGCAGAUAGCAAGUCCGGCCCGGUCAGGCCCUCCGACUGUACCAACACCCGGAGCCGCGCAAUGGCGGCGGCUCCAGAAGGCGAUAGUGUCUUGGCCCGGUACGACCAGUUGGGCCGCCUCCCGGCCGGCAGCAUAAGCCGGCAGGUUGACCCAGUCACCCUCUGCGAAGAUGCUCUUCACGUACAAGUACGACUGCUGCCACAUCUUCACCGACUGGAUCAGUGUGAUGGGAGGAAAUGGAUUGUUGCCUGCCGGCCUCCGCACCGCGAUGAAGGCGCCGCAUUGAGCCGGCACGCCCGCGACGACGGUGCCGAGCUUGGUGUAGCAAAGCUCCCACCAAAGCUCGAUGGUGGGGAGGACGCUGAGGAAGCCUUCGCACAGAGUGACAAAGGCGGACAGCAGCACCACUGCGUUCGGGGUGAGGUGGUGCGGCUGGAGAUUGUAGAAUUCAAGGAAGGCCCGGAAGAAGCCACUUGCCGACAGGCCGAGGCCGCAUGGGCAGUGCGAGCGGAAGACGACCCGCUCGCCCUCCUCCGGCGCCGGCGAGAUCUCCCCCUCCAGCGCGAGGCGAACCCUCACGUAGUCCUUGCUGGGCAGCCGCCGCGUCUGGCGGAGGAAGUCGAUGUGGUCUUCGUGGACUGUGGAGCCGUCCCAGGCUCCGGAGCCCGCCAUGGGGGCGAGAGGUUGACGGACGGACUCGACGGAGACGAACCGCGGCGGCGCUUCGGCGGGGCCCGGGGCGCUGCGGCGAGAGGAAGAAGAAGAAGGGAGACUGGGGUGGAGGGGCGCGCGUGCUUCGCCGCUCCCUCUCUUCUCCCUACUUAUAGCCUACGGGCUACGAAGCAAAGGGGGUGGGUGUGGGAUCGUGGGAUUAACUAUGCCCACGACCCCACGUUUCCACCUUUACCGCGCGGGUUACUGCGCGCAGUAACUCCGCGGGGAAACCCAACCGCCCGCCUCGGCCGCAGUGGAUCCGCUCGCAGGCCGAGGCCCGGUGGUGGCGGGCCCGGCCUGCGGUCGCGUCCCGUCACGCGCGUGGCCUGGCAGGCCGACCCAGCUGGCUGGCGCCAUGUGGCACACCCACGACGGGCGGCAGGCCGAGAAGCUUAGCAAGCACGCCACCUGGUUCCCGCCGAUGCAUUCGAAAUUCCAGAAGGAUCCGACUAGACAUACCCGACUUCUGCCGACCGGCUCCCCAGAAGUCGGAUGGAGCUUCCUUCGGAGCACCCGGAGGAGGAAACUGUUGAGGCUCCCCGGCUCCUCAACCGUGGCCCCUCACCAGCUUCGGGGACUACUGUCGGAGUAAUGGGCCACGGGUAGCCUAACCUGAGCCCCCGAACCUUUCAAGACAUCGGGGCCGGCUGCACCCCUCAAGACGUCAAGAUAGAUCUCUGCCUUCUGACGGUCGGUUGGCUGAACGGCCGACUGUCAGAAGGUGGCUGAGUUCCAGAAGACGGCAUCACAACAGGCCGACUCCUAGUGGGCGCCCUCCAGAGAGGCCGGCCCCUAGCAGUCGGCACGUGGCGCCCUCAAAGUUUGCGCCCUCAUCAAGGAGACAAGACAGGGUGUGACUAUAGCGUAGCCCAUCCCCCCGAAUCCAGGGCCGGGCGUGGCCACAGUGCCCCGUACAGGCGGAGAUCUCCGCACGGCGUGGCACUGUUGCAUCUCCCCCUAAACGUCACUCCUAAUAGGCGGAGCCCUGUUCCCACGACGGCCUGUCGGUAUGGCUUGCAGACGGCAGGCCCUACCAGGCAGUGAGAGCCCUGAAGACGGAGGAAGCUAGGGCAGCCGGACCAGAGGGAAGCCGGCUUCCAGCAAGCGGCUUAUCCCUCCCUCGGGCCCCGUGCGGCAUCAACCAGAUGAGACGCAGUGUGGCUACAGUAAUCGCCCGCCAGGCUGCGGGACUGUAGCCACACUCCCCCGACCAAGCCUGCGUCAUUAGCAUCAUGGCUACAGUGAUCAGCAGCCGGCAAGACCCGCGAGCGGAGGGAGCGGCCUGUCGGCUUGGAACCAGACCAGUCGGCGGGGCCCACCGGGCGGCGGGCCCCAGCAGCCGGCGGAGAAGCCGGCGACCAGAGAGACUGACAGCCGGGUCCUACACCCAGCUGGAUUACAAUUAUACCCCUAGGGGGUAGGCCUAUAUAAACCCCCCAGGGCACCCGUGCAAAGGGUUCGAACCUGUUAGAACUAGACUCACACCUAGAGGAGGAGAGAGCGUGCCUGCCUUCUUUCACCUCUAGCAAACAGCUCAAGGAGCACCAUUGUUCCACUAGUGCCUUAGUGAUCAUGCGGAGACCCCGCAGAGCAGGACUAGGGGUGUUAUCUCCACGGAGAGCCCCGAACCUGGGUAAAGUUCGCCGGCGUACAUGUCUACGCCUCAUCCCGCUUCCAGGCACCGGCAACGUUCUACUCGCUCCCACCAUGAUAAGCCAUCCUUUGGCAUAUGUCGCACCCAACCCCCGACAAUAAUAUCAUCCAACAAGCAUUAAGGGUAGCAUAUGGUCAAACACAAGAUCAAACAAGUAUCUCACAAGUAGCUCACACAAACACACAAUAAAGUUUCAAACCAAACCAAAUUAGUGCAAAGAGAGAUAAAAACCAAUACUCUCUCUCUCUCUCGAAGUCUAUGAUCUAUACAUUUUUCUCCCCCUUUGACAACACGUUACCAAAAAGUUUGAAAAUGCAUAGUGCUAAACGACUCUCAGGCUUGAUCUUCGGGAGGUGGUGUUGAGAGAACUCCAAGGACGAAGGCUUCUGAUAAAGUAGCUGGAGCUGGUGGAGUAGCUGCUGGAGGUGGAACUGGAGCUGUAGCUGCUGGUGCUGAUGUUGUGGCUCUAGUGUCUGUCACUGGCACUGCAGCAGAUCGCUGUCCUCUGGGCACUCUGGCAAAAGCAUCUGUGGUAGACUUGCCCUUCUCUCCUCUGCUUCCUCCUGAAGUUGCUCAACUGCAGUUUGGAUUUUUGUCACCUUGACAUCAAGGUCAUAGAAUUUCUGCUCAAUGAUCCUCUCCAGACUCUCCUGGUUCUUGGUCAGGGUGGCCAAGCCCUUCUCAAUCCUCAGGGUGGAUUGGAUCAGAUAUCCAAGCUGGUCUUGCUUGCUCUUCAAGAAUACCUGAGAUGCCUCCUCAGCUGUUGGCAUCUUUGCAGCCUUCUCUGCCUUAGCCUUCUCUCUCUUUUCAUGUGCUUGAGCUGAAGAUGGUUCAUUCUCAUUCAUCACAACAGUGUUAUCUUCAAAUUCAGGAUAGAUGGGCAGGUGCUCCUUAUCCAAGAUGUACUUGCCUUUGCCCAUCUUUGAGUUGAUUAGCUCCUGAAUGUGUGGGGCAUGCCCAUAACUUUUCUUCUGAUCAGCUGCAGUCCUCUUGAUUGUUUCAACAAUCAGGCUCAUGACUUUGAACUUAUGUGGGACAUCAAAUAUGUGCAGCAAGUUUAUAGCAUGUCCUAUGAUCAUCUUGUGAUCACCUGACUUGGGUAGCAGUGUGUGCCUUAAGAUCCAGUUGAUUGUUGGCAGACCAGACAACAGGUAGUGAACUGAUCCAAACUUAUGUGUAUCCAAAGCAGCAUUUGGGAUCUCCUUGUACAUGUUAGCCAUACUGUUGUGGUCUUUCUUCUUCUCUGCAUAAAUGUCCAAGUCAUCCUCAUGUUCCUCAGGAGCAUUUAUAAGCUUGGCCCAUUCAUCAACUGUAGAUUGGUACCUAGUACCCUCAGACAUCCAUAUAAUCCUUCCAUCUGGAUAGAAGUCGGCAGUGGAGUAAAACUGCAUGAUGAGCUCAUCAUUCCACUUGGUGAGCUUCUGGGCAACAAAAGUAUCCACUCCACAUGCCUUAAAGCUAUCAAGCACUCCAGGGAAGUGAUCCUCAUUUUCCUUGAUGAAUUCCCAGUCAACCCAUCUCAUAUCACACACAAUGGGCUUCUUGUCAAGCAAAACUGUCUCAUAGAAGUCCUGUUGUUCCUUAGUGUGAAACAUGUAGUCCACAACAGUCCUUCUCCUGAUAGCAUAUGGAUCAGACGCCUCCAUAGUCUCAAUCCUGCAUCCUUCCUGAUCUUCAUGUUCUCUGCAACUGGGUGUGCAUCAGUGUGGUCAGGGAUCUUGCGCUUCAGCUUCCUCAACACAACAGAAUCAUCUUCUUCUUCUUCAGCAGCUUGAGGCACUGGGGCCUUGUUGUUUUCUUCAGCAGGGAUAUUCCUAGUGCUUCUCUUUGGUUUUGGCUUUGGAGCUGGAGCGGCAGCUUUGGGAGCAGCUUUGGGCUUACAUGGAGCAGCCCCUGAUUUGAUAGCAUCUCCCAUAAGCUUCUGAGCUUUAGGUGCUGGUGCAGCAUGCUCUUCCUCUUCCUCUUCUUCUGAAGGUUCUUGCAUCAUGGAGGGCUUUCCAAUGACUCUGGCCAGUGUUUUCUUAACCCUCGCCUUCCUGUUCUUCCCUUUUUCAGCUUCUUCAGCAGCUGAUUUUGAAGCUUCAGCAGUUGAUGUUCUGACUUUUGACAUGGGUUGUCUUCUUGCUCGCAUCUUUGUUUUCAUACCAGGCUUUGUUGCAGUUGUGCCAUACUCUUUCUUUAGCACCUUCUUCUUUGAAGUGGCUUCAUCUUCAACUGCCACAUAAUCUUCAUCUUCAGAGUCAGAAUUCCUCUUCUUCCUUGUCCUGGUGGCAGCCUUUGGCAGAUUGCUGGGAGUGCUCCUGCUGCCUUCAUCAUAGCUGCUAGAGGGAUCUGAACCCUCACUCAUCUGCACCUGUUGCUCAGACCUGUUCUGACUAUCACUCUGGUCAGACAUCUCUGCAAAUACUCUAACAGCAGACCCUGUGAAUAGGUUAUAGAUGAGGUAGAGUAGAUGAGCAUCACAAAGUACAGGAGUUUUGCAAAAAGGAUGACUUAAAAACUUAGUUUUAGUUCUUCACAGAAAGCAUUUCGGAUCUACCGAUUUGUAAACUCGGUGAUACCGAAGCAGCUUUUGGAACCUAAACUAGUGAACUCGGUCAGACCGAGUCACAGUUCGGUGGUACCAAGACUGCUAGGGUUUCACAAAGAGUCAAACUCGGUCACACCGAUUUGCAAUUUUUGGUCAGACCAAAAACGCGUGUGCUCUGGCCUAAGCCAAAAUCGGUGAGACCGAUUUCUACAACUCGGUCGGUCCAAGAUGAAUUCAGCAGAGACCUAACCCUAAAUUUUUAAAGCAAAACUAAUCUACGGGAUGUUUUCGCUGGACAGGAUGAUUUCAAUCGUGGCAAGAAUCAUGGCAAAGCAAUGUGCUAAGAAUCGGAGUUAAGGAUUAGCACAAAGAUCAAGUUCGUACCCUAGUUCGGCGACGAACUUGCAACGGCGGCAACGGCGGUGAAGAUUUCCGUUGACGGCGGUGGAGACCAGCAGCGGGAGGUCGCUGGCGACGAGAGGACGAUCCGGAGACCCGAAGAGGCAGAGCAGGUUAUGCGCGGGCGAGAAGGUUUAGAAAAAUUCCAAAAUUUGGCCCGUCGGUAUAUAUAACCUGACCAUGUCGGUGUGACCGAGAGGAACGACUCGGUGGCACCGAGAUGCAAAACUGCAGGCAGUUACUGCAACUCGGUGUGACUGAAAGGUUCUAAUCGGUUGCACCGAGAUUGAAAACCCUAGAUCAACUUAGUGACUCGGUAGGACCGAAAAGGAUGAAUCGGUCAGACCGAGAUGCACAAAGAGGUUUUGGAGGUUUAAGUCUAUGGCGAAUCGGGAACUCCGAGUGCUCCUCACACAGAGUGGUUCGAUUCUGACUUGAUCAAACUUUGUGAUGUAGCAUGAAUAGAGUUUGAGAUGAGAAAAGCAUAGAUAGCUAGAGGGAGUUCUUAGGGAUUCUUGUCCAUCCAUUUGGCAAAAGAGAAAGAGCCAAACAAUCAAAACUACAAAUGGGUGUCCUCGAAUGAGUAAAGUAUGCAACCAACAUGCUCACACAAUAAAAUGGCAAAUGAAAUAUGUGACAAAGCAUGCACAAACACUUUAGCAUCUAUCAAGCAAUUUGGCGAUGACUAGGUCAUCAAUAUAUGAGUAUAUUGACAUAGGAGUCAAAUGAGAACAUUUGAUCAUAGGUCAUACUCAUCAUUUAAGCACAAGUGGGGUUACCACUUUUACAUAAAGCAUUGAUGUGUUCACACCAUUUGAGUUGCUUUAACUCAAUUGAUUAGAGUAAAGCUCCCCCUAGAUGUGAUAUCCCCCCUUAGAGGGAUAAACUAACCUUGGGUUUUUUCGAUGAUGACUUCAUGUAGGUGUUGAAGAUGUAGAUGCUCAAUGUUGAUGUAGAUCAUUUGGAGCAAUCCUUUGGAGUGAGUUGCACUUUCAAUACCUACACGGGUUAGUCCCACAAGGAACAAACAAGGAUAUCCAUAGACAUAGAGUGAUGCAUACACAAGAUGAUGUCCAUGAAAGCAUUGGAUUACCUUGUCCCUUGUCUUACCAACAAGAGGGUUUGUGACUCCUUGAACUAGUGCAAGAUAUGGAAGUUGUUUGCACUUGUUCUCGCCAAAAUGAUAAGAGUGAAGUAUGUUGGCGGAGUCACCCUCAAGAACUCUCUAGUUCUUCUUCUUCUGGAUCCACACCAUGUUGACGGGAAUCCUCAGAGUUGUAGUUGUACUUGAUAGUGUAGAACUUGAUGUAGUCUUGGGAACCCACUUGACCAAGGCCUUAGGUGCUUCUUCAAAUGCAUCAAUUUCCUCUUGAAGCUUGUCCUUGCCUUGUUGCUUGUGGUCUUGUGGUGGAAGAUCAUCUUGAGCUUGUGUCCCUUUAAAAGAAGUAGGAUCAUACUUCUCUUGUUAAGAACAAACUUCGUCUUGGGGUAUUGAUCUUCUUCCCACUCAACUCCAUUGGCAUUGAACUUUUGUUCAAAACCAACACCUUGAUUCUUCCGGUGUCUUCCUUGCUUGCGUACAAUUUCCUCAAAUUGCUUACUUCCGGCAAGACUCUUGUAAACACCUUUCUCUAUAAUUCCCUUCAAUAAGCUAUUUUCUUGCUCAAGUGUAACUUGGCUAAGAGAAUCAUUAGUGGAAUCAAGAGAACUACUAGAAGUAACAACAUUGGAUUUAGCAUGAUUGUUGUUACUACUAGAUGAAACAUCUUUCUUGUUCUUGUUGCUAGAUUUAACUUGUGGCAUGUAAGUAGACAAGAGUAAACGCUUGGCAAUGUAAGAAGAACUUUUCUUACAAAGAUCAUCAUUGAUUGCCUUUAAAAACUCAUGCUCUUGCUCAAGGUUGAGCUUUUCAAAGCGUAGCUUAUCAUGAGUCUUUAAAAGUUCUCGAUGAUUUUCCAAGGUAGUUUCAUGAGCUAACUUAAGAGUGUUUAGUUCUUUAGUUAGACGCUCAAUCUCCUUCUUAUCAUCAUCAUUCGUUUUAUCUUGAUUAGCAUGAUUAAUUGACGUUUCAUCAUAGUUUUCAUCACUAGAGUUGUCAACAAGUAAAUCAUCAUCACGUAGCAAAUCAUCUUCAUCACUAUUGAAAUCAACAUACUUGGGAUGUGUUACCUUUGGACCUUUGGCCAUGAAGCAUCUUCCAAUUACUUCAUUUGGUGAGUCAAAUAUGUCGUAGGAGUUGGUUGACACAAGUGCUAGACCGGAAACACCUUCAUCUUGAGUAUAUUCGGAGUCGGAGUGAUAACUUCUUUCGGAGUGAUUGUCGGAGUCGGAGCCGGAUACCCAUUCACCAACAUGAGCUUGGUGUCUUCUUUUUGUGUAGCUCCUUGAUGACUUGUCCUUCCUUUCCGAGUCCUUGCUUCUCCGAGAGGGUCUUCGUUCAUAACGAUCAUCUCUACUCCUCCUUUCUCUUGGUGGUGAUUCUUCUCUUCUUUUGUAGGGAGCCGUACACUCAUUGGAGUAGUGUCCGGGUCUUCCACAAUUGUAGCAAUUUCGCUCACGACUAGAAGAUCUUUUGUCAUUGUGGGACCUUGACUUGGAACUUCUUUCUUUGCUUCUACUCUUGUAGAACUUGUUGAAGUUCUUUACCAUUAGGCUCAAUUCUUCAUUGAAGAUUUGUUCUCACUUGAUGAUGUGGGAGCAUCACACGAGGCUUUGUAAGCACCACUAGACUUGUUGUGAAGCUCUUCCUUAUCCUUGAGUGACAUCUCAUGAGCAACAAUUCUUCCAAUGACUUCCGUUGGCUUGAGAUCUUUGUAAUUGGGCAUCAUUUGGAUCAAUGUGCACACGGUAUCAUAUUUUCCAUCCAAGGCUCUUAGGAUCUUCUUGAUGAUGAAUUUGUCGGUCAUCUCUUCACUUCCCAAGCCGGCAAUCUCAUUUGUGAUGAGAGCAAGCCUAGAGUACAUUUUGGCGACACCUUCACCAUCCUUCAUUUUGAACUUGUCAAGUUGACUUUGAAGCACAUCCAAUUUGGAUUCCUUGACGGAAUCGGUACCUUCGUGCAUAUCAAUCAAAGUAUCCCAAAUUUCCUUUGCAUUCUCAAGACGGCUGAUUUUGUUGAAUUCUUCAGGGCACAAUCCAUUGAAGAGAAUAUCACAAGCUUGAGCAUUGUAUUGUAGCAUCUUCAACUCUUCCGUGGUAGCUUCACGGUUUUCUCUCCCAUCAAGGAAUUCACCUUGCAAGCCAAUACACACAAUAGCCCAAACGGCGGGGUUAUGUCCAGGAAUAUGCAUUUUCAUCUUAUGCUUCCAACUAGCAAAACUUGUACCAUCAAAGUAAGGACCUCUAUGGUGGUAAUUUCCCUCGCUAGACGCCAUACUCUCCUAGGUUGUGAAACCAAGGCUAUAACCACCAAAAGCUAUGGAAAUCAAAGCAAAUGGAGACCAAAGCUCUGAUACCACUUGUAGGAUCGAAAGUAUGUCUAGAGGGGGGUGAUUAGACUACUUGACCAAAUAAAAAUCUAGCCUUUUCCCAAUUUUAGUUCUUGGUAGAUUUUAACAACUUAGCACAAGUCAAGCAAUCAACCUACACAUGCAAUUCUAAUAGUAUAGCAGCGGAAUGUAAAACAAUUGCAUAUGAAGGUAAAGGGAGGAGUUUGAGGGAGCAAACGCAAUGUUGACACGGAGAUUUUUUAUCCGUGGUUCCGAUAGGUGGUGCUAUCGUACAUCCACGAUGAUGGAGACUUCAACCCACGAAGGGUAACGGUUGCGUGAGUCCACAGAGGGCUCCACCCACGAAGGGUCCACGAAGAAGCAACCUUGUCUAUCCCACCAUGGUCGUCGCCCACGAAGGACUUGCCUCACUAGGGUAGAUCUUCACGAAGUAGGCGAUCUCCUUGCCCUUACAAACUCCUUGGUUCAACUCCACAAUCGUGUCGGAGGCUCCCAAGUGACACCUAGCCAAUCUUGGAGACACCACUCUCCAAGAAGUAACAAAUGGUGUGUUGAUGAUGAACUCCUUGCUCUUGUGCUUAAAAUGAUAGUCUCCCCAACACUCAACUCUCUCUCAUAGGAUUGGAUUUGGUAGAAAGAAGAUUUGAGUGGAAAGCAACUUGGGGAAGGCUAGAGAUCAAGAUUUAUGUGGUUGGAAUGGAAUAUCUUGACCUCAACACAAGUGUAGGUGGUUCUCUCUCAGAAAAUAUGUAUUGAAAGUGUAGGCAUGUUCUGAUGGCUCUCUCCAUGAAUGAAGAGUGGGUGGAGGGGUAUAUAUAGCCUCCACACAAAAUCUAACCGUUACACAACUCGGUGGGACCAAUUCAGAGAACUCGGUCAGACCGAUUUAGUUCAAAAUGUGAACGUUAGGAUUCUCGGUGGGACCGACAUGUCAACUCGGUGGGACCGAUAUCAUUAGAGUUAGGGCCUAACGUAAUCUCGGUGAGACUGAUUACACAAAGUUGGUGGGACCGAUUUUGGUAAUAGUCAAACAGAGAGUUGGUCAAGCAAACUCGGUGGGGCCGAUUCGAUCAUCUCGGUUGGACCGAAACGUUACGAAAAGGAAACAGAGUGUUUGCAUUGCAAUCUCGGUGGGACCGAUCGCUCAUCUCGGUUUGACCGAAACGUUACGAAGGGAAACAGAGAGAUUACAAUCCCAUCUCGGUGAGACCGAGAUCCCUAUUGGUGAGACCGAAAAGACUAGGGUUUCUGGCAGUGGCUAUGUCAACUGAAAUCGGUGGGGCCGGAUAGAAAGAAUCGGUGGGGCCGAGUUGGAUAUUUGGUGGGGGACAUAUGUGGAUAUGAGAAAGUAGUGGAGGGUUUUGGAGCAUAUCACUAAGCAUUUUGAGCAAGCACCUCAUUAAGCAACACCUCAUCCCUUCUUAAUAGUAUUGGCUUUUCCUAUAGACUCAAUGUGAUCUUGGAUCACUGAAAUAGAAAAUGUAGAGUCUUGUGCUUUGAGCUUGAGCCAAUCUUUUGUCCUUAGCAUUUUGAAGGGUCCACUUUCUAAUCCAUGCCAUGCCAAUCAUUGAGCUUUCCUGAAAUAUCUAUCUUGAAAUAGCAUUAGCUCAAUGAGCUAUAUAUUGUUAGGAAUUACCAAAACUACCCAGGGAUAGUUGCACUUUCACUAAGUUAACUAAAAAAAUUAGUCCCACCUCGCUCCGUGAAGAGAGUUUGUACCACCUUAAAUAUGUUACUUCUCAAACUUUCACAAGCACUUGGUCUUCAUUGAACUCUAUGUGUAGAAUUUGUGGCCGCAAUAUGAGUCUUCACCAGUUCCUAAACUGGUGAGGACUCAUAUUGACAAAUCAGAUUGUACACAAAAAGAUCAUUGAUGAUAAAUGUAUUUUUGAUGUCUAUUUUUACAUGCUGACACAUAGCAGUAGCGUGCUCUUUGUGAAAGGCGCUACUGCUAGGUCGUUUAGCAGCAGAGCCUUCUGCUAUAGCGCGCUACUGCUAAGCCAUUCCAUCUCCCCCCACUCUCCGAUCUAUCCGAUCCACUCACACUCACACUCACUCGAUUUCCCCUCAACCCCCCACGCCGGUCCUCCCCCGUCGCCCCUCCCCCGAUCUGCGCCGCCGCCACCUCCUCCCCCUCGCUGGACUCGAUACCGGCCUCCUCCUCCGUCCUCCCUCUAGUCGCCGCUGGCCGGCCCCUCCUCGCUCCGCCUUCCUCCUCCGUCCUCCCUCCGCUCGCCGCCGGCUGGCCCCUCCUCGCUCCGUCUUCCUCCUCCGUCCUACUCUCUUCUCCCUCCUCGAGUCGCCCCUCCUCCCUCCUCCAUCCACAACCCCUCCUCCCUGCUACAUUUUGAUUUAGUAGGAUAGUUGAUUUAGUAGGCUAGUUGAUUUAGAACAUUUUGAUUUAGUUGAUUUAGUAUGCUAGUUGAUUUAGUUGAUUUAGAACAUUUUGAUUUAGUUGAUUUAGUAGGCUAGUUGAUUUAGUUGAUUUAGAACAUUUUGAUUUAGUUGAUUUAGUAUGCUAGUGGAUUUAGUAGGCUAGUUGAUUUAGUUGAUUUAGUAUGCACCAUUUUAUUGUUACUUUUUCUGUACAUGGAUAGGUAGAUGCUUUUGUUUUUUUGUAAUAAGUUAUUUUUUGGCAAAAUAUAGGUGCCAAUUUAGUUAAAUUUGCCACUUGUGUUUUUAAUCAAUUAUCUUAGGCAAUAGGGGCCAAAUGAGAUGAAAUGUCUUGGUAGGUGGUACCCUUAUUUGGUAGAUAUUUGUGAAAAGUUUUUUCGGCAAUAGGUGCCACCGAAAUGCUUUGUCCAUCAAAUUGCUUCUCGCGGAAGAACCAAAAAUAUCACAUGCUACUGUUUUUCUUUCCUGUGAAGUGAAUCGUUAAUCCUUUGCUCAUAUUGCUUUAGGAAAAUGGCGCCACCACCACUAUGUCGACUGUGCAAGUCAAGGUGCGCCAGCAGCCUUGCAACUGGCAAGCUGUUCGGCAUCUACUUCCAGCCAAGUUUCCGUCAUGCGGCGGUAAGAAAUUAGAUGAAAUGUAACAACUAUUUUAUUUUUAGUGUUGGCAUUACUGCAUUGUGUCAUUUUUCUUUUUUUACACAGAUUGUCCCAUGCAAUGUGAGGUUGAAAUUCAACAAGCUGACAGGAGACACUGUGACAUUUGAGGCUCCUGGGGGGUCGUACACUAUGGAGGUCGAGAAAGGACGCAAUAUGUCGCAGAUUGGAGGAGAUGGAUGGGCCCGUUUCCUUGCCCACAUGCGUCUUACUGGUGGUGAGUUGAUCAGCUUCUCCUUCAGAGCAGAAAGACCCAAGCUGGCUGUCAUUUAUCUCAACCUGGUGUAAGAUGACGAAGAUGAUGAAGAUGACGAAGAUGAUGAAGAUAAUGAGGACCCACUCAAUGAAGAUGAUGAGAACCCACUUCAUGAAGCCAUCGUAGCUCAAAGAAUGAGGCUGAGCGAGGAGGAGGUGUGCAACCUAUGGGACAUAAUUCCGCCACGUGAUGACUUUGUCGGGGUGCCAUUCGUGACCCGCCUGACAAGUACCAUGGUUGAUCGGCAUGAAAUGGUAUGUUAUACGUAUUGCCUGUAUUAAUUUGAUGAUAUAUAUAUGCUUUAUUGUUAUACUUACAAAUGCAAAUUAUUCGAUGAUAUGCUUAGUGAAUCCAAUGAUAUGCUUAGUGUAGAGUCCAAUGAUAUGCUUUGUGAAAUCUAGUCGAUGAUAUGCUUUAGUGUAGAGUCUGAUCACGUGCUCUUAUUAGUGUAGAAUCCAAGGAACUAUUAAUAGUGUAGAUAAUCCAUAUAUACUUAUUAGUAGAAUUCAUGAUUAGUUAUUACAAAUGUAUAGUACUGUGUCUUUUGAUAGUGUAGAAAUCUAGACUUAAUAGAAAUAUAUUUGCAAGAGUAUGUGCGAGGCUAUUUAUUAAUUGAUAUGUUUUUCUUAUUCAGAAAUUGCCAAAGAACCUAUCUGUGAGUUGUGGUAUCGAGCCUGGUGAAGAAGGCUCAGCUGGACUACGCCUUACCGCAAGGGGCUCCGUCACCACCUGUACUUACCGCAUGGACACAGACGGUCGCACACACUUAAACUCGGUUGGGUGGAAGAGAUUCCUCGUUGGCAAGAAUCUUCGUGUUAGACAGGCCAUCCUAGUUACUAUCAGGAACACCCACCGCCCAGGCUUGAGGAUGAUGAUCAUCGUUGAUAUCAUCUAGAAGUACAUAUGAUGAUCGUCGUCAAUAUCAUGUAGAACUACAUAUGAUGAUCGUCGUCGAUAUCAUCUAGAACUACAUAUGAUGAUCGUCAUCGAUAUCACCUUGUACUGCUUGAGGAUGCAUGUUUGAGUAUAUAUGAAAUUGUUAUCUAGUACUCCUUCCGUUCAAAAUUACUCGUCGUGGUUUUAGUUCAAAUUUGAACUAAAACCACGAUGAGUAAUUUGGAACCGAGGGAGUACUACCUAGUACCUAUAAUGCUUUAUGAAAUUGAUAUCUAGUAGUACCUAGUAUUUGGGAAUUGCAGUUUAUUGAAGCUGAAAUGGGGUAGGAAGCCGGGGGAAAUGAUGAAAGAUAUAUCAGUAGCGCGGGGCCAGGAAAUCGCUACAGCUAAUUAAUAGUAGCGUGUUCCGGAAACGUUUUGCUGAUAUAGUCCAUAGUAGUAGCAUGGGUACAGACCGCGCUACUACUAACAGUUAGCUGUAGCGCCUUAUUGGUAGCGCGGCUGCCCGCGCUGCUGAUAGCCUCAAAACCCGCGCUACUACUAGGGUUUUUUCUAGUAGUGGAUGUUUUUAUUGCCACUCUAUUAAUUUAACAAAUGUAUGCUUUAUUGUGUAAAGAUGCUUGUAAUUGUAUAAUUGAGAUUAUAUUGACAAAGUAGGUUUUGUUAAAACUAUUUUUCAUCGGUUGAUAUUUGUUCAAUAACUUAAUGUUUUGGAUUAUAAUAUUGACACUUAAUUUGCCGGCUUAUUUUCAUUAAUAUUUUUAGCCACAUUUUAUCUCUUAUAAUGACAUUAAUCUAAAAUGUUAACUUAAUAUUGAAAAUGAUAAUUAACCUUACUUUUAUCUAAUCUUUCAAACCUCAGAUGUAAUAGUGUUUUUUCUUUGUAAGUUAUAUGUUUAAGUAUAAACAAACAGAAAAUUCUAGAUUAUAUAGGGUGUCUACCCCCCGCAAAAAAAAAUAUAGGGUGUCUAGGAGCAGUGUUUCCUAUUUUUGUUAUGCGUCAAUUCGUCAAGUAAAUAAUUUACAUAAAACACUUUGUAGUAUAUGUUCAACCGUCUAUGGAAGACACGUGUAAAUAAAUGUGAGCCCGGCAUAUUUUUUCAGAUGAUCAGAUCAAAUGGCCAUAUCAAAUACGGGCCAUGGCAUGGAAGGCAGGCAAAUCUUAUAAUGUUUUUGCAUAGAAUCCUCGUAAUUUACAUCAUGGUAGUACAUAUCAGACCGCACGACGACACACCUCACCGCAAGCAAGGCAGAUUACUUCCCGGGAACAAAGUUGGUGGCGAAUGCCCAAGCAUUGUUGUUGACGGGGUCGGCGAGGUGAUCAGCGAGGUUCUCGAGUGGACCCUUGCCGGUGACAAUGGCUUGCACAAAGAAACCAAACAUGGAGUACAUGGCGAGACGACCGUUCUUGAUCUCCUUGACCUUGAGCUCUGCGAAUGCCUCGGGGUCGUCGGCAAGGCCGAGCGGGUCGAAACUGCCGCCCG